CCCACCACCACCAUACUACUACCAUUCACCACCCCCUCCGGUGAAAUCUCCUCCUCCCCCAUAUUACUACCAUUCACCACCCCCUCCCGUGAAAUCUCCUCCACCACCAUACCAUUACAGCUCACCACCCCCUCCCGUCAAAUCUCCACCACCACCAUAUUACUAUCAUUCACCACCCCCUCCAGUCAAGUCUCCUCCUCCACCGUACCAUUACAGCUCACCACCCCCACCAGUAAAAUCCCCACCACCACCAUAUUAUUAUCAUUCACCACCCCCUCCAGUCAAGUCUCCUCCUCCACCGUACCAUUACUCCUCACCACCACCUCCGGUGAAAUCCCCACCACCACCAUACCUAUACAACUCUCCACCGCCACCAGUAAAAUCUCCCCCACCUCCAGUCUACAUCUACGCUUCUCCGCCACCUCCCACACAUUACUAGGCUCGUCAAAUUCAACAAAAUUUCCCCAUUAUUCAAGUAAGUCCAACACUCCAAGCUACACUCUCAACUUUAAUUAAUCCAUCAUGCAUGCAUCCGUUUUAAUAGGUAGCGUUCCCUAAAUAAAAUAUCUCAAUUACUUGUACACAGGUUUUCUUUUAAAAAAUGAAAUAAAGGAAGGGUCAAAGUCAAAGAGGAGAAGAAGUGAACCAAAUAAGGAUCGUCGCGUGGAAAUCAGAAAGGAUACAUCUAUAACAACGAACCACAUCAUCACUUCGUCUUCUUCAAUGUCGCUCAUCUUCCACUUGUGCAUCAUUCUCUUUGCGUCUUCAUCAAGUGAAAUUGUUUCCAAGACCCUUUUAGAUCGUAUCAUACUCUUUCUUUGUUCCCUUUUGUUGUUAAGUGAAAAAAAAAUGGGGUUUUGGUAAUUUAAUUGUUGUGCAUACAUUUGCUAUUUUGUGAUUCUUGUAAUGAGAGAGGUGUUAGCAUAUAAAACAAGGUUCAAUUUUCUUCUUUGUUCUUUCUUUCAGUUACUUGGUGGUAACAUUCUCUGCAUAAUUUGAAAACAUACCAAGGACAAAAUUGAACAAAGACAUUCUUUUGAGUAGGGCAAGACACUUGUUUCCAUCUGUUCGUAUAGAGAGAAAGUGAUCAUUGCUUCAAAAGCUGGAAAGCGGAUGUAACACAUCUCUCUUUGAUCUUAUUGGCUUAUUAGUAAAUUAAAUUGUGUGUUAUAUGUUAGUACGUCAGAGAAUCACUUUCAUUCAACUAAUUCCACCUAUUCUUUUGUAUAUGCUAAAAUAAAACAUACCAUCUAACUUGUUGAAAUAAAUUCAUAUCAAACUUAUUAUAUUUUAGGUUUAUAGUAUGUAUACCUAAUUUAAUGGAGAAACUCGAACGAAAUCAUAUGGAAACCAAAAUAGUCGAAGACUCGAAAUCAGUGGAGUGGUUGUAAAUAUUUGGGCUUUGGGAUGAUAGCAUUAGCUUAUUUGAGGCCCAUUAAUAUUUUAAUGUAUUUGGUAUUUGCCUCCGAUUCUUUUUUCGUGUCACCGUCAUUUUUUUUGUUUGUGUUGUUUUGGCAACACUUGAUUGAAACUUUAUUUAAUUACUAGUCGGUUGUCAGCGCUACGCGCGAGAGUUUAUUAUAUGUUGUUUAUUAAUAAUUGAUUCGUAUUUUAUUUUCUACUUAUUUUUUUCACUAUACCAUACUUUAUUCUUUUAAACUUAAAUUGUGUUUGUAUAGAAAAGCUAUUGAGUUUUAGCUUCAUUAGUCGCUGAGAAAUUAAGUCUGUAUAGUAUAAGUCGAAGUGUAGGUGUAAAUGGAAGUGCGGUUGAGAAUCAUUGAGAAACGUGUGCUAUUAAGGUUUUUACCAAAUAUAGAUCUAGAUGUUAAUAUUUUGGGCCCUUUUAUAUGUUGGCAUGAAAUUUGAACAUGAUUUGUGGGUUUCGGGCGGAUUGUUGUAUUUUUAAUUGUUUACAUUAUCUCUUUAUAUAUUGUCAUAAUUUAUUAUGUUUUGUUUUACAUUUUCCUUUUUUGGAUUUGUCGUACUUUAUAUCUCGUAAUGAUCAUUUAUAUACUAUUAUAUAUUUUUCUGAUUUUAUGUUUUAUAUAUUUUUUUGUUUUUUCAUAUGGAACAAUUUUAAAAUUUAACAUAUUAGUAUAAUUUACUUUAUAUUUAGUUUAUUUCAUUUAAUAAUAUUUUAUUUUAAUUUUCAAUUUUAUGAAAUAUAGUUAAUUUUUUAUUUUGUUUAUUAGUUUAACAUAUGUGUUGUGGAAACAAAUAGUUAAAUUCAUAUUUGAAACUUUUAAAGAAAUAUUAUUUUUAUUUUUACCUUUUUAUAUGUUUAUAAAAAAUAAGAAUUCAUGUUUCGGUCCGACCUAUCUCACUUAUGUUAGAAAAUUAUUUGAGACAUAAAUUAGAUAGAUUUAUAUUCUCAAAAUUUCUUACUUUUUGUUUUAUUCCCGUUAAAUCUCAUUAUAUUUAGGUUUACAUUGUGUAAAUAUAAUCAUAUAUAUAUUUUAAACAUUCACUAAAAACUAUAAUCUAUUAUUUAUAUAUUUGUUAGUAUAAUUGAUAAUUAGUCAGUUUUUUUAAACUCUUAAUCAAUUAUCUUUUUUAGUUUAUAAUGUAUAAUAUAAAAAAAGACCUUUCAUAUUCAUUUUGGGAAAACUUAUUUACAUAAGUUUAAAUAUUAAUAUUAAAUGAUAAAAUGAUAUAAUUAAUUUUAAAAAUUAAAUAAUAAAAUGAGGUGGAUGAUGAUGUGUCUUAAGGAGAAGAGAGAAAAAGUUAACUCUAUAUAUAUAGAUAAUGAGUUACGGAGAAUAUGAUAAUAAUCCCUGUUAAAUUCAAUGAAGCGAGAAUAUGAAAAAGCAUACAGUAAACUAUAAUAAAAUGAGAAUGAAAAAACUAUAAAAUCGUGCUGAGACUAAAGUAAGUAAUUAAAAUAAUACGUAGAUGAAGAAGAAACAGCUGUAGUAUGAUAUCUCUCUAAUGUCAAAAGAAAAAAAAGAAGAAACGAUGGAACAUUUAUAUGAAUGAUUUGGAGCCUUUUGCUUAAUAUUCUCCGUGUUUAGUUGCGCUGUCUUAUUAUUGUUUUCACCUUUUAAUUUUAUUUUUCUGCCAAUUUUUUUUAAUAAUUUAAAAAUUUAUCUAUUGAAAUUUCCUUCCUGGCUGGCUGCUGUGUUUUCCUCUCUCUCUCUCUCUCUCUCUCUCUCUCUAAGUCGGAAAUAUUGUAGAGAGAGGAGACAAAGUUCGAAAGCUAAACGCAGGAAAAAAGGAGAUCACAAGCUUCCAAGGCGUUUCUUCUUCGUCUUCUAUCUAUCUGUUACCUCACAGAUCCGAUUCUGGUCAGGUUUUUUCUACAUUUCUGCAGGUACGAUCGAUCUCCCUCUUUUUACUACAGAUUCCUUUUUGCUUUUUGUUUCAUUGAUUUCAUCAUUUUUCCUUCAGAUCUAUUGUUUCCAUUUUCAUUAUUUCCGGUUGAUUAUUCUUAUAUGUAUGAUGAUUCACCUGGCGAGCUGUUUUGUGGACGUCUCUUUUAGUGUUUUAUUUAUUAGCUUACGAUCUUGUGGGAGCUUCGAUUUCGAUUGUUACCUUCUGAAAUUGAGUCUGCUUAGGACUCGGAUUUGUUUGUCUUUUUGGACGUCUUCCUCUUUUCUUGAUUUGAAAAUUCGAUCAUGGCUAAUUGAUUUUUGUGUCCCGUUCCUCAAUUCCAUGGAUUUGAUGUAUUAGCUCAAUUCAAUGGAUUUGGCUCUUACGGUUGUGUGAUUUUGGAUUCAUUGUAUCUUGUGAUGCUCAUGCGUUGAAAUGUGAGGUUAUGCUGAAGAAUCAUUCAUUGUGGAUGGUGUUUGUCUGUUUGUUUCCUUUCUUCUUUUUCUUCUUCUAUACAUUUCUGGUGAUAUUUGUCUUUCUUUUGACUGCUGUGACAGCUAAGGUUCUCAUUGUAGAAGGCGUUUUGUGUUUUUAUUGAUAUAAUUCUUCUUGGAACUCAUACGAAGAUGAAGAAAGUCUUCGGCCAAACUGUCAGAGACCUGUAAGAAUUCUAGUUUCCCAAAUGAAAAAUGAAUAUCUCAAUGUCAACCUCUCUGUGUUUUUUUUUUAUUUUCCAAUAAACGAUGCUUAUAAUUUUAUGUUCCAUUUUCUUUUAUUCAGUAAGAGAGAGGUUAACAAGAAAGUCCUCAAAGUUCCUGGAAUAGAACAGAAGGUAAAGGGUGCUCUUAGCUUCUUUUCUGUUUUUUUUUUUCUUCUUCUUAUUAUUGAAACCAUGCUGAAGCCGAGAUUUAGUUAUUGUUUUUGAUUCUUAUGACUGAGUUGAUCAAUUUCAUUAUCUUUCUAAGGUUUUAAAAAAUAUAAAUAGAUAGCUUUAUCUUGGUUGCACUCAUCGUCUUGAUGUCCAACAUAUAUUCAUGUUGUUUUUCUGUCUCGCCUCUGUUUCCUCCUAUUCAGGUUCUAGAUGCUACUAGCAAUGAGCCAUGGGGUCCGCAUGGAUCACUUCUUGCUGAUCUUGCGCAAGCCUCGAGAAAUUAGUAACUACGACCACCUUCCAACUGCUAUAUUUUGCUGUAAAUUUUUACGUUGCACAGGAAUUAUAUAAAUUGUUACCUCUAUUGCAGUCAUGAAUACCAGCUGAUCAUGGGGGUCAUUUGGAAACGCCUUAGUGACACUGGAAAAAACUGGCGACAUGUCUAUAAGGUAAACAAUAUUGUAAAUGCCUUGUUGCUGUCUUAGAUUGUUUUGAAUUUCUGUCGCAGUGACAAAAGUAUUUCUUGUUGUUUAUCUAUUAUCUCUCCCCUUCAGGCUUUGACAGUUUUGGAGUACAUGGUAGGCCAUGGAUCAGAACGUGUUAUAGACGAGAUUAGAGAACGUGCAUAUCAAAUUUCGGUAAUGACCACCUAGAAUUAAAUUAUUUUGGAAGUAUUCAACAUCAAGAGAACCCUUUUGUGCUGUACCGCAGUAGUUGACUAUCUUACUCAUAUAUUAUGCCCAUGUUCCUUGUGGCAGACAUUGUCCGACUUUCAGUAUAUUGAUUCCGGUGGUAGAGAUCAAGGAAGCAAUGUUAGGAAGAAGUCACAGAGCCUGGUGGCUUUGGUGAAUGACAAAGAAAGAAUAGCCGAGGUCAGACAGAAGGCUGCUGCGAACAGAGAUAAGUAAGUUUGGUUGUCAUUUUAAUUUUUCUGGAACUUCUGGAUAGUUUCCUCGCUGUGUGAGUCUCGCUGGACACUUGUUUAAUUGAUUGUUGCUAGUGGCUUACAACUAUUAUCAUGCCUCUCUGUAGUCUAUUAAUUUGUAGUGGUGGCCCUGUAACAGUACAAUAUUAGCUUCGUAUUUUGGAAGUUUUCUAUACUCAGAGAAAAGAAAAAGACACCUCUUGUGGUUCAUUCGAAUUAUGCUGCAACAUAUCAUCUUACAUUAUUUUACAACAGGUAUCGCAGCUCAGCACCAGGUGGGAUGUAUAAGCCUUCAGGCGGAUAUGGGGACAAAUAUGAUUACGGAAGCCGGGAUGAAGAGCGAAGUAGUUAUGGAAGAGAAAGAGAAUAUGGUUACAGAGAUGAUGAUAGAAAUAGCCGUGAUGGAGAUCGUUAUUCCAGAGACUCUGAAGACCGGUAUGGAAGAGAUGGUAAUAGGGAUGAUGAUUACAGGGGUAGGAGCAGAAGUGUUGAUAACUAUGGGUCACGAGGUAGGAGUUCGGAAAGGGAGAGGGAGGAUGAUGGCCAUUCUUCAUCACGGUAAUGUUUAAUUUUAAGUUGAACUCGCCUAACCUGAAAUAAAAUAUGAAGGGACCAACUUUAAGAUUAAUUUAAACAUCAUUUGGAUGGAAUAUUUUGUUUUAGAAUACUGGCGUAGAUGUCCUUGAUUAAGAAAAAAGCACAAUGAUAAUGUUUAAAUGAAACACUCCUGAUUUUAAGUUGAACUGGCUUAACCUGAAAUAAAGAAUGAAGUGACAACUUUGAAGAUUAAUCAAACACCAUUUGGAUGGAAUAUUUUGAUUUUGAAUACUGGCGUAGAUGUCAUUGAUUAAGAAAACAACACGAUGAUAAUUUUUAAAUGAAACACUCCUUUUUGUCCUGUAGGGGCAGUGGAGCUCGAGCUGAUGAUAAUUCUCAGGAUGGGAGGUAAUUUCUGAUAUGUUUCUGCUGAAGUUUAGGCCUUCUCUUAUUGUAUGUCAACUCAUCUCAUCUUCUUUCCGGAUUAUAUGAUAGAGGACGGCUCGAGAGGAAGUUUUCUGAACAAAAUAUUGGCGCUCCACCCAGUUAUGAAGAAGCAGUCAGUGAAUCACGCAGCCCUGUAUACAGUGAAAGGUGUUAAUUUCUGCUUUGCAAAUUUUCUGAAAGGUGAUAAUUUUCUGGUUUUAUUGGUGUUGAUGAAUCUUUCUAUGCCAGGGAUGGUGGGGACACCCCACAAGUUACUGCUCCAGGAGCUGCUUCUCCUCCUCCUCCUCAAGUUACUGCUCCAGGGGCUGCUUCUCCUCCUACUGGAACCAGCACAGACAAUACAGCUGUUACUUUUGUUAGUGAAUCACCUUCUCAGAAAGUUGAGACUUUUGAUGAAUUUGAUCCACGUGGUGCUUUUUCAGGUACAGAGAACUCUAAGUCUUGCAACUCGUUAGUUACUAUUUUGUUAUAUCUGGUGAUAUUUUUUUAGUUUUUCUUUGUCUUUCAAAUUCCUCGGCUGCAGAGAGAUUAAUGUUCAUUGAUAAAUCAGAAAAUCUUCAAUAACUAAUUCAGUAAACGUUUCAAGGCACUUAAUUGGAGGAUUGAUGAUUGUGUGGUAUAUUUCUAUGUUAUCAAACUCUGUUUGUUCUGAGUCUGAGCUUUGUGUUUCUUUACUUUUCCAGCUGGCGCUCCAGCAUCUGUAUCUACAGAUGGUGUUACAGCUCCUCCAAAUGUUGCUUCUAUGUCUUCCCCUCCCCCCUCGAACAGUGUUGAGAUGGACUUGCUUGGGUCCCUUGCAGACGUAUUUUCAUCAAAUGCAUUGGCCAUUGUACCAGCUGAUUCUACCUCCGUUGAAACCAAUGGACAAGCAAACGCUGGUCCAGCUCCAUCGUUUUCCACAUCUCAGCCAUCAACUCAGGUAUAUACACUGAGCUUGGACUCUGAAGAUUGUGAUGGUUUCCUAUGAUUAUUGAUGACUGCCGUUUCGAUUGUGCAGUCAUAUGAUGACCCAUUUGGUGACUCUCCUUUCAAAGCCUUCACUUCUGCUGACGCCGAUUCAACCCCACAGCAGAAUUUUGGAGCUCCUGAUACUGCUCAUAACUUUGGCUUUGAAGACUCAUUUUCCGCAGUUGCCAAUCCUGAUCCUGCUUCUCAGAAUGUGCAACCUCCAUCAAACUCACCAGGUUUUCUUCAAGAGCAGUUUGCUAGUUCUCAGAGUGAUAUUGAUAUUCUUGCUGGCAUUCUCCCACCAUCUGGACCUCCAGUUUCACUCCCUCAACAAUCUGGUCCUUCAAUACCAACAUCUCAGUUUCCUCCCAGUGGAAACAACAUGUACGAAGGCUUUCAUUCUCAGCCAACAGUAUCUACAGCUCCAAACCAGCCCGGACAAACUCCGUUUGGACACGCUGUACAACCAUAUAACAUGGUUCCUCAUUCUCAAACUAUGACUGGAGCCAUGCCGUUUAACAGUGGAGGCUUCAUGCACCAGCCGGGCUCACAAACUUCAUUUACUGCCACUUCAUCAAGCUCACAAAAUCCUUACCCUACCUCAAGUGGACCAGCUGGUCAGUUCAUGGCACACCAGGGUCAUGGAAUGCCGCCUUCCCAUGGUCCGCAACGAACUCAAUCUGGACCUGUUACGCUGCAAGGGAACAACAAUGUCAUGGCAGACAUGUUUUCACAAGCUGGGCCAAAUUCCUUAACGUCAUCAUCAUCUCAUCCAGAUCUCACACCUUUAACAGGAGCAAUUGAGAUUGUCCCUCCGCCUCAGAAAAAGUUUGAGCCAAAAUCAUCAGUUUGGGCUGACACAUUGAGCAGGGGGCUUGUUAACUUCAACAUAUCUGGACGUAAGAUAGAUUUCACCAAACAAUUUUGUGAAAAACCCAGUUUUCAGCAUACUUUCUAACAUUUUUUUUCUUUGUACUCAUGCGCAGCUAAAACAAAUCCAUUGGCAGACAUAGGAGUUGACUUUGAGGCGAUCAACAGGAGAGAGAAACGGCUGGAGAAACCAACAAACACACCAGCAACAUCGACUAUCAACAUGGGUAAAGCCAUGGGAUCAGGCACUGGCUUAGGGCGUUCUGGUGCAACCGUUAUGAGACCUCCGCCUAAUCCAAUGACUGGCUCUGGCAUGGCCAUGGGUGGAGGAAUGGGUGUUGGUAGCUAUGGAGGUAUGAACCAAAACCAACCCAUGGGUAUGGGUAUGGGGGUCGGAAUGAAUCAAAACCAACCUAUGGGUAUGGGAAUGGGACCUGGCAUGAAUCAAAACCAACCUAUGGGUAUGGGAAUGGGACCUGGCAUGAACAUGAACAUGAACAUGGGAGGAUAUGGCCAAGGCUAUCCGAUGCAACAACAAAACCCAGGGAUGGCCCCUGGCCCAAACAUGCCUGGAAACAACUACAAUCCGAUGAUGGGUCAAGGCGGUUACAACCCUCAACAAUCCUAUGGUGGUGGAUACCGGUAAGAUCAAGCCAUACAUUACGCACUUGACUUCAUUUGUAUAAUCAGGAAUCCUCUGUUCAGUGCUUUUCUUUACUCUCGGGUAUGUAAUAUCUUUCGAUAAAAGUAGAUGGAUUGGCCAGCCGCUUCACGAAAGUACUCAGGUUACAUUAUUCAUCCCGACAACACGGCUCCACGGAUUUCUUCUCUGUUCUUGCCUUAGUCUUCAAUCAUCAUUCAUUUUUAAUUUUUUUCUACUACGGACCAAAUCGAGAGUUUGUUGUGAAAUUUGUACCGGUGAGAGUGGCAAACCUUGCUCGGGUCUGCCCUUUAUGUUAUAUGCAUAUAAUUUGAUAUAUACACAUUUACUUCUUUCUCUCUAUUUUGAAGAUGUGUACAACAUUUUUUUCAUUCACGGAUCAAAUAAGAUAUUUUCAUCUUUGUUCUCUCUAUGUAAUUGUUUCUUGACUGUAUUUACUUUUUCUUCACCACGUGUGUGUCAUUCUAGAAAGACUUGGAUUCUGUCACCAGCAGUGUCUUUAAAAUCUAACAAAAGUUUCCCUCCGACUUCAUCGGCUGCAUCGUCCAUCAAUUGCUUCAAGUUCACGCCUCCUAAGGCUACAAAAUUUCAGGGUCCGUCAGUAACUGUGCCUAAGGAAACUGAAACAGAAAAAUACUCGAGUUUUUGAAUUACCUGGAACAAUGUUGGUGACACCUUCCAAGAAUCCGGCCUGUUCCAACCAUAAUUGCAUCAGUUCAGAUAAAACAUGAAAAAGGUCCCCAAAAGUCCACUUACCAGAGUUUUGACAUCAGUUUGAAAGUGGGCUUACCGGAAUUCUGACAUCGAGUUUCUCAAACCCAUCACGCCCGAUGAUUUUGAUCCUUAAAGAUCGUGACCAGAUCCUCGAAAACGGGUUUCUUGGUUCAUUAUAAACCUCUGGUGUUAUGACUUCAACAAUCGGGUCCUCUCUCAGUUCUGGAUCAUCUUGAGCCUCUCGUUGAUAACCAUAGAUGCUAUUGCUGCUUGCUUCUUGCAAAAGGAUAGAAACAGAUUUAGUUAUUGAUUUGAUAUUUCUCAAAGAUGAUACAGCUGAAAAUUGCUCACUUCUAUCUGAUGAGGAGGUAGUAUAUCGUCUCUCUUCCUCCAGGUAUGUGUCAAAACCAAGAAUCUCAUUGAUUUCUUCUAAAGAAGCCAUGCUUCCUGGUGGAGGAAUUCGACCACCCUUGAUUGCCAAUAGAGCGUCCUGCAAAAAUUCCACAUAGUUUUUAAGUCUCUUUGUCAGCACGGUGAGGUUAUUAUAUUAUUGGCAGACACAGAAAGAUUGUCACCUGCAUUGCUUGAAUAGAAACUCCGAUCAAUGAAAUUGGAUAUGCUACUAGCUUAUAUCCAAUCUCUUCUAGCUCGAGCGGGUUUAGUAUUGGAACUUUCCCUCCACUUUCUAGCAUAUUAGCCUACACAAAGACCGGAGAAAUGUAUCUUCAAAUCUCCCGGGUAUAUAUCAAGAUAAAGAAGAGUUGAUUCUUUUGCAAGUGAGGUUACCAGUUUAGGAACCAGUGGGUAGACAUUGCAGAAUGCUUUCAUCUCGUCCCUAGAAACAAGAGAAUCAAUGGAGAGAACAUCUGCUCCAGCAUCUAUAAAAGCUCUUGCCCUAGUGAGGGAUUCCUCUAAAGAUAUCGCUUCUCGGGAAUCAGUUUGAGCUAAAAUGACAAUGUCGGAAUCACACUCUCUACGUGCAUCUACUGCAGCUUUAAUACGCAUCACCGCUUCCUCUCUAGAAACCACUCUUCUCUCACUCACAGUAUCUCCACUACAAACCUGGUCACUGAUUAUAAUUCCAGCAAAACCAGCUUUGAUAUAUCCUUUCACGGUUCUCUUAACAUUCAUGGCACUACCGUAUCCAUUGCCACCGUCUCCAAUCACGGGAAUAGAAACAGAUAGAGUAAUUUGUUGACCUUGAUCAAUCAUUUCUCCAUAGGAAAUAAGUCCUUUAUCCGGCAAACCAAGCCGAGCCGUGGAAAUUGAGAAUCCUAUUAGUAUAAACAGAUAUAUCAGAGAAAAGCAAACUUGUUUCUUAUCUGAUUCAGUGAAACUAUAAAGCUGUAAAGUCUUGAACUUUAGCAGAACACAACCAACAAACAACAGUAGAAGAUCGAUUUCGCAAUAACCAGAUACAAACUGUGAAGAAUUGGUUAAGCAAAUUCAUUAGUGAUCGAUUAAUACAAUUACCAGAGGUGAUACAGUAAGGAAACCCAGCUCGCUCGAUGAGUUUGGCGCUAAGAGCAUUGAAGCAACAAGGACCCUGAAGAACACCAGGGGAUUGCAUAAUCUCCCGUAGCUUCUUCGCCGGAGAAGAUGGUGACCUCUCGUUUCCCGAUGAACUGUUAACGGAGACACGAAAUCGUCUCGAGACAGAGAUCGGUUUCGCAGAUAAUUCUCCGACGGAAAAGAAACACAAGGGUGUGAAAAGGGUAGAAUCCGGAGGGAGAAGACUCGAUUUAGACUGUCUAUGAAGAAUCCGAGGAGGAGAAGAGCUGCAAAAGCUUAGUGCCGCCAUUGAAGGAUUUGAUUAACUUCAAUUGAUCUAAAAGGAGAGAGAAGUAGGUUGGACAAACCGAAACAGCUUUACACCAGACCGAACCAGAUUAUAUAUAAAAGACUAAACCAUGUCACGUGAGUUUUUUUAGGGUUCACGUGAUCAUCUCCUAUCUUCCAUCACAUCGGCCGACUUGAGAGAAAAACUUGAGAAAACAAAAUUUUCUUAGCUCGCCGUGCAUCGUCAGUCUCAGUUUAACGUCCAUCUCUGAUUCGUAAGCAUUUGUUUGAUUUAUUAGUUUUUAUUUACAAAUUCGUAAAUUGGUUUGCUAUGUUUUUCUGCCUUGAUGGUCUUCUUAUCUUUUGGUUAAUUGCUGUUUGAGCUUUAUAGAUUCGUAGUGUUUGGAUUGAAUUAAGUAAAUUCUGGUGAAAUUUUCACACAGUAGGCUGAUUGAAUUAGUAAUGACAUCCAAAAACUAAGAAAUCUCAGAGCUACUUGGUUUCAAUAUCCUAAGCUCCUUAUUAAAUGGAACAUACAACGUCGUAGAUGAACUAUUCUAAUAAGUUUAUCUUCUCUCUUGUUUAGUUGUGUAACUUGCGCAUCAGUAAUCAGCUACAGAGACUAGGUUAGUUUCUAUCUGGUUACAAUGGCUACAGACAAGGUUGUGCAUGAUCAGGCAAGAUGGGCAAUGGCAGCCAUGGAACGGAGACUUGCUGUUGCAAAAGCUCAGCAACAACAGAAGAAUGAGAAAGAUAAGAAGGGAACUUCCGAUGUACAUGUCUCUUCAAAACAACCACUUCAAGCUGAUCCAUCCCCUACUCCCUCAAAGACAUCAAUUAAAAAAGGUUUGAUGGUUGAGUAUAAACGAAUCAUGAUGGAAGUUGAGUUACAAACUCAUAAGCAUGAUUGUGAUGGAAUUUUUUUUGUGUGUGUGUAGAUCCGAAGGAGGAUGAUUAUGUUGCAUAUACAAAAUUUUCCCAUCCCGUUGAUGAGAAUUUGUUGGCAACCAAUGUUAAGGUAAAUUCAGAUUCUUUUGGUAAUCAAACCACUGUCUUCGUCCUUAGGCUUUGAGUUAAGGUUGCUUAAAGUGUUCUUUGUAAUUUAGUUUUCUAGUGCGAAGGGAACUAUAGUCGACAAGGUUUUGCAUAACCUCCUUCGAAGUGGUGACUCUGCUCAAAAGUACUUGCAAGGUACUAAAAGUGUGAAGCUGGACAACUAUAUCCUCCUUGAUAAUUUUGUACAGUCGCGUUCUUCAGCCUCUGGUUCUAAAAAGGUAUCACAGAAGGAUUCAAAACGUUCUAAGAGCCGUAUGUCUAUGAAGCGACUCAAGAAGUCUGGUGCUUUGCAUAUGCCUAAAGAUCUCCAAAAGUGAGUUCUAUUUGCUGUCAUAGAGAUUAAUUGGCUUCGCAUGUGUAUAUGACUCUGUCAUUUUGGUAUUCUUAACAGACUUUAAAUGUUUACUGGUUCACUGGUGUUUGGAGUGCAGGUUUGAUUUGUUUAAGCCAAUGCAUGGUAUGUGGGAAAGUUACAUGAUGCAACUUAUCAAGGUGACUGGGUAAGCUACUAAUCUGAUUACCGAAAUACUAAUUCACUGUUUGUUAUGGACGAGAUUGAGGGGUGUAAUAACAUUCACUAUCUUUUUAAGCUUGGUCACCAUUCUUAGACAAUCUACUUUUUGCAGGAAGAUUCAGCUAAGCACAACUCUUCUCUCAGCAGAUCUUCACGGUGCUUUUAUGUUUGGUAAUCCCACACUCUUUCACAAAAUCUGUAGCAAUCUCCUUUCGAAAAUCAACUUCUCUGUAGUUAAAACACACCUUAAACCCUAGUCUAUGAACUGUCCAAGAAAUGUCUGUUAUAUAAUAUUGUAAUGUGUCCCUCCUAAUCAGAGGAACCUAUUUUUACUUGUGACAGUUGCUGAGUGCAAGAUAGCAUCGUUCACUGGUGUACAAGGCAUAAUGGUGCGUGAGACAUCCGAAACAUUUGGAAUAAUCACAAGAGAUGACAAAUUUCGAGGUAUCUUAAAGCUUGUUUUACCAAUAUAUUUGCGAUAGAUAUCAAAAUCGUUCGAUUCAUUCCCAAGCCUCAAAGCUGAACUUGGUUAUUGUAAACAAUCUGAUACAGUUGUGCCAAAGAAGCUCUCUGUCUUCAUCAUCCAACUCGACUGCUGGAAGAUUACUUUACAUGGGGACAAGUUUAUUUCAAGAGACAAUACUGUUCAACGUUGAUGCUAAAAUGAGCUCUAGUCUUCUUCUUUUUUUUAUUUAUUUCUUAGCUCGUGAUAGGAAGGAACAACCAUUGAUGACUACGGAAGCAUCCUAGUAUCACAAGAUUUUGCUUUAGAUCUUUCCUUUUGUACCCAACAUAUUAAUAUAUUCUUUAAUGUUUUGAAUUAUGUAUGGAUCCUCCUCUGUAAAUAUACUACUGUCUUAUUGUUAAUACUAAUUUUUAUUAUAUGAAGAUAAGUGCUAAUGUCUCAGAAACGGGGGCCACUAAUAAAGACAAGUGCAGUUGAAGAUUCCAGUUUCAGGAAACGAGGUGAGUCUGACUUCUUAACUAAAGUAAUAAUACUUUACAUCACUGUACUCUCUCUUUCUCAGCAGCUCUGAAAUUAUUGAAACCUAAUUGCAGAAGAAGUCGAGACAGAAAAAAGGAUGAAUCCAUUACAACAACACAUACCAAAGAUUUGUCCUAAGCGUCUAUUCUUCUUCACUCCAAUCUUAAUAUUCUCUCUCUAUUACAUCCUCACCACUAUCAGAACCAUAACCAUCUCUCCCCAAGAUCCUCACUAUCCUCCCCAGCUUCAAGUACCUUCCAUUUCCCAUUACUCCUCCCUUCCAGAAAUUUCAGAAAACCGAUCACCACCACCACCAUCAUCAUCUUCAUCAUCAUCAUCACCAGCAUCAUCUUACUUUCCACUCUGUCCCAAGAACUUCACCAACUACUUGCCCUGCCACGAUCCAUCAAUAGCACGACAGUACAGCAUUGAGAGACACUAUCGGAGAGAGAGACACUGUCCUGACUUAGCUCAAGAAAAGUUCAGGUGUUUGGUCCAAAAGCCCUCCGGCUACAAAACGCCUUUUCCUUGGCCUGAAAGUAGAAGCUAUGCUUGGUUCAAGAACGUUCCAUUCAAAAGGCUAGCUGAGUUUAAAAAGUCUCAAAACUGGGUUAGGCUUGAAAGAGACCGCUUUGUUUUCCCCGGAGGCGGGACUUCUUUUCCCGGUGGUGUGAAGGACUAUGUUGAUGUGAUUCUGAGUGUUUUGCCUUUGGAUUCUGGGAGUAUCAGGACAGUUCUAGAUAUUGGAUGUGGUGUGAGUUCAGUUACAUGAAUAGACACCAGAACUUAACUAAUCUUGAUGUUUAUACUGCAGUGGUUGCACUCUUGAUUACUGUAGAUUCAUCUUGUGUUUUGUUGUACUUGAAUGCAGGUAGCGAGUUUUGGAGCAUUUCUGUUGAAUUAUAACAUCUUGGCAAUGUCCAUUGCACCGAGGGAUAUACAUGAGGCUCAAGUUCAGUUUGCAUUAGAACGAGGACUCCCUGCUAUGCUCGGUGUUCUAAGCACUUAUAAGCUGCCUUACCCGUCGAGGUCUUUCGACAUGGUCCAUUGUUCUAGAUGCCUAGUCAAUUGGACUGCCUAUGGUGUGUGUAUAUAAAUACACAUGUUUAUUCGAUCUAUUUUAUUCUUUUUGGACCCCUUGUUUGAUUUACUCUGCUUCUAAUACUGAAAAAGCAAAAAUUGUACCCAGAUGGACUUUACUUGAUGGAGGUGGAUCGUGUCCUACGUCCUGAUGGAUAUUGGGUGUUGUCUGGACCACCAGUAACAUCAAAGGUAAAAUCCAAGAACCAGAAGAGAGAUUCUAAGGAGUUGCAAAACCAGAUGGAGCAACUAAAUGAUGUUUUUAGAAGACUGUGUUGGGUGAAGAUUGCUGAAAGUUACCCGGUUGUCAUAUGGAGAAAACCUUCUAAUCAUUUUCAGUGUAGACAAUGGCUACAAGCUCUUAAGUUUCCUGGAUUCUGCUCUUCUAGUGAUCCUGACGCUGCAUGGUGACCUUACUUUCCUAAAUCUAAUUUCCUCUGCAUCUUCAGAAGCUGAAGCUUAAUUCAGUGACAUCUGUUGUGACAACAAUAGGUACAAUGAGAUGAAGCCUUGCAUCACUCCUCUUCCAGAUGUCAACGACACACACAAGACCGUUCUCAAAACCUGGCCAGCGAGACUCAGUCACGUGCCUCAACGAAUUAAAACCGGGUCGAUACAUGGAACAAUUAUUGCCAGCUUCAAAGCUGACACUAACCUGUGGCAAAGUAGAGUUUUGUACUAUGAUACCAAGUUUAAGUUUCUCAGCAAUAGAAAAUACAGAAACAUCAUGGAUAUGAACGCUGGAUUAGGCGGUUUUGCUGCAGCCUUGAACAACUAUCCUAUGUGGGUUAUGAAUGUGGUUCCAUUUGAUCUUAAAACGAAUACACUCGGUGUUGUGUACGAUCGUGGUCUCCUUGGGACGUACAUGAACUGGUAAAACACUCAAAACGUUCUUAUAUCAUCUAAUCGGACUCUCUUAAACCGUCUUUUUCGGUUAUUUUGUAGGUGUGAAGCUUUCUCUACAUACCCUCGAACCUAUGAUCUGAUUCAUGCCAAUGGUGUGUUCAGUUUCUACUUGGACAAGUAAGUUCCGUUUGUAACUUGAAAACCUUAGAUUUACAUUUUUGUAAUCAAUGUGUAAUAAUGGUUUAUUUUUGGUGGUUUCUUAUGAUAGAUGUAACAUCAUUGAUAUACUCUUGGAGAUGCAGAGGAUUCUUAGACCAGAAGGUGCAGUUAUAAUACGAGACCGUGUUGAUGUUCUAAUCAAAGUGAAGGCUAUAACCAAUCAAAUGAGAUGGAACGGAACUAUAUAUACAGACGAUAACAAUGGUUUUGAUCAUGGAACAAUACUAAUUGUAGAUAAUUCAGUUAAAUAAAAACUCUUUUUGGUGUUAUUACAUUACUAAAAAACAAUUGGAAAUUUUUGUGUGAUUUGUUAAUUUGGGUUUAAAUUGGACAAUUUAAAAAGUUAAAGAGGAACAUUUAGUUGUUCAUCAAACUUACUGGACUUUGGGAAAAAUUAAUGUAACGACGUUAUCGUGACGGUGGCGUUUAGUCGUCUACUGUGUGAAGACUUAAGGACUCAAAAGAGUCUUAACGGCGUCUGAUCCUCUACUCGUAGCUUCUUCGUUCUGGUGAAUUGUGAAUCUGCGGCAAUUGUGAAUCUCUGUUACUUGCUCCUUUGAUUUGGUCGGAUCCAGGUUGGAUAUAUUUUUGGAAUUCCUUGUUUGAUUUCAGUGAAUUGUUAGGGUUCAAGGUUUCUGAUUGAUUUUAAGUAACCUGUUGAAUUUGCUUAUUUGGAUUCUUUGAUUGACAGAUGGAAACUCUCACGUUCAAGGGUACUGUUCCAGAAGCCAUAUUUGAAGCCAAAGGGCAGAAGAAGCUUUUUGUUGUUUACAUCUCUGGUAAAAAUCGAAUUUUUUUUGCUUUUAUUUAGUGUUGAAUUCGAAUAUGAGUUGCCUUUUUGGUCUCAUCUGAAUAUGAGUUCGGAUCAUCCAAGAAUCUGACUUUAAAUAGAAUGUUUCAACAUUGAAGCUCAAUCUCGAAAUUUUGAUCUCUAACAGUAAUAUGGGUUUGUUCUUAAAAUCUUAGGAGAGGAUGAAGAGUCAGAUAAGUUGAACAGAUUGACUUGGACUGGUGCAUCGGUAUGUUUCUCUUAUUUGUAGUUUACGUAUUCUCUUUUGCAUUCUCAGUUAUGUUGAAAUUGCAAACAAGGCUAUUGUUCAUUCAUAACCUUGUCCUGUGUUUCCUAGUAAAGGUGGCAGAGUCGCUGUCCAAGUAUUGUAUUUUAUUGCAUAUCCAAGCUGGAAGUGUUGACGCCACAAACUUCUCCGCAAUAUGUAUCCUUUCUUUUUUUUAGGGAAGUUACAAAAAGCUGAUUUUUAGUUGUAUAGCUGCUUCUCCAGAUUGUAUAGUAAUGCUGCGUUUGAACAGGCGUUCUGUAGACCUGCCUUGUAGGUUUUGCUAUACGAACAAGUCCCUCUGUCUGUGUAGAGUACAAAAUAGUUUAGGGAGAAUGAACCAUAAUUCAUUUGGAAUCUUUUGGUGAAAUCACCUCGCAUCAUUUUUCUGUGUUGUGUAUAGAUUUAUCUAUAUAGCUGAUAUAUCUAUCUAGGACUAUACAUCUGUGUGUGUGUGUGUGUGUGUGUGUGUGUGUGUUGCAGUUUAUCUUAUGUUGAUUUUAUUGGGGCAGCAGUUUGAAGAGAAUUGGGAUCCUUACAUCAGUUUCUAGACCCAUAUUCAUCUGUUCCUUGUAUAGCUGCCAUUGGAUUCAGUGGUACACAAGUUUGGAAAAAUGGUAAGACCGUUUGUUAUUUUAGAUGUAUCUACUAAUUUACAUCAUUAUAGUCAAGCAAACAUGGUAAUGAUGCGGUUCCAUCCCUUCUAAUUUUCAGAAGGAUUUAUUGCUGCUGAAGACCUUACAUCCAGUUUAGAGAAGGCAUGGUUAGGACUUCAUAUUCAGGUAUGCGAUAGCUUCUUUCCUCACUUGACCGAUUGUUUGUUCUUCUAUGCAUUUUCAUAUGAUUGGUGUUUUUUGCUUACAUUAGCCUUCGAUAUGUCUCACCUUCAGGAAACAACUGCAAGUAUCCUUUCAGCAGCACUUGCAUCUCAGAACUCAGAGCAAUCUGCCUCCAGUACGUCUAAUGCUGUCUUGCCUUCUGAAGGUGGUCCUUUAGAUGCAGCGGUUGCAUGUCCAUCAACGGCCUCUAGUGUUCAACCCUCAGAGACAAAGUCAACAGUGACAUCUGCGUCAACAAAACAAAACAAUGAUGGCACAGUUAAGGUUAUCCCUGGAGCUGAAACCAUUUCUACAUUACUUUAGUUUGAUGUUGUACUUACAUGGUGCAGCCUUGUUUUAAAUCAGGGAAAAGAAUCUGCAGAACCCAGUAAAUUGUGUGAUACUACCAAUGGAUUGCCAGCAUCUUCUCUUGCUGGAACUAAGGCCCAUGUCGAACAUAGAGUGACAGAGGCCCCUUCGCAUGUGCAGGAAGAAAAGGAGCCAAUUCGUCCUGCAUCCCCUAGACCAAAUGAUAAUACAUCCAGCGUUCGAUCUUCUACGGAUAGAAAAAGGAAACAAGAAACCGUGAAGAACAAAGCUGAAAGUAGUUCAGGUGGUAGUGAAAGAGACAUAGAUUUAGUAAAAUCUGUAUGUACAAAAGAAACAGUAAAGCCAAAGGAUGAAGGAGAGGAUGGAAAAAGUUUGAGAAAAUCAACUGAUGUUCAUUUAAACAUUCGAUUGCCUGAUGGUGCCAACCUUCAAGAAAAGUUCUCUGUGACAAGUAUAUUGAGAAUAGUCAAGGACUAUGUGGACAGUAACCAAACAACCGGACUGGGUGCUUACGAUCUUGCAGUUCCUUACCCCCGUAGGGUUUAUACUGACCAAGGUAUGUUAAGUAUCUAGUGCAUCCAAUAGAUUUAGAAUUGUUGUGAAGAAUAUAUACCUUAAAACCAGCUUCUUGAUGGAAGAUGAUGCUAUUUGGUUUUUUUUUUUCUGUUUCUGGUCAGGUUGUGUUAGUCUAGAUAUGUAACUCAUUUACUCAUAUUAAUCUCUGCAGAUCUGGAUAAGUCCCUAUCUGAGGUGGGUUUGUUCGAUAGACAAGCCCUUGUAGUGGUACCGCGUAAAAGAGCAACUGUUUAUCAAAGAGGAUCAUCGUUCUCUGAGUCUAACAACAACACAGACCCUAACAGUGGAGGUUACUUUGCUUAUGUUAGAAGAGUACUGUCUUAUGCAAACCCAUUUUCAUAUUUUGGCGGCGGUACUGACAGCGCAUCAAGCUCUGGUCCAGAACGUCAAACAGGUAUCUGGGAGUAUGGUGAGUUCAUAAAAUUCCUUUAUAAUGCAGGAAGCUGUGUAAUUGCUAACGUGAUACUCUGAUUUCUUUGUCUCUAGGACCAAAUACGGAGCUGAGAAACAAUAUGGGGGAAGUGGGCUCCUCUUUUCAAGAUUCAUCAGAAGGUAGGAGCAACGUUAGGAACAGGAGACCAACCACUUCUAGGAUUGGAAGUAACAUCCAUACGCUGAAUCACGAUGAAGAUGAUGCGUCGUUUGGUGAUGGAAACGCCUUCUGGAACGGAAACUCCACACAAUACGGUGGUGGAAGCGGCGGAGACAAUAAUGAUAGGCGAUGAAAUGAGAGUUACUUGAAAUCCGUGCUGGAUCUAUAGAUACAGUCUACAGAAACAACUCAUUACUUUUCAAUUAAAAGAAAACACCAAGUAAGCUUUUUAAGGAAAAAUAACAUAAAACAUUACGUUAAUCUAUAACUUUGUGUUCGACAAUCGCUUGUAAAAUUUGCAACUUUGUGUUCAACAUUAGCCUUACACCUACCUAAUGAUAUGACUAUAUUUGGUGUCAGCUAGUCAAAGCCGCUUCAGUUGAAAUUUCUGGAUUUCAGUUAUGACCGUAAUUUUGUUGUGUAGAGGAAGUUAUAUUUCUACGUUUGCAUGUAAACUGUAAACCGUAAAGGUUAAGCAUCAUGGCUGAUAUUACUUAUUAGGAACCUCAUUAUUACAUAUUUUUAUUUAAAAAAAAAAACAGUUUAAAAUGUAACCCGCGAACGACGUUACAUAUCUUUAGCCGACGCGUUGCUCUUCUGUCUUCUCACGAAAAUAAUCAUUUCCCCACGUCUGUCUCUGUCCAAAACAGAACAAUAAACAAAACCUAGGAAUACAUAUGUAUAUACAUACGUACGUAGAGAGACUUUGAAGGUAAUUCUUCUGUUUUCUCGUCUUAUAUAAAUAGCCAAAUAUGGGAUAUAUGUUUGUUCUAUUCUUGAUCACACGCCUCUCUGUCGCUUCCUGUUGACGUUUUCUUUCUUUUCUUAGCUGUUUCUUUUCCUUUCUUUUUAUCUUUUUUUUUUGUGUUGUUCUGUCUUUUUUCCCCUGUUUUUCACCUAAGUUAUUUGGGAUUCCAAUUUUUCUCUAUUUUUUUUUUUCAUUCCUAAGUUUCUCUCCACCUCCUUUCGUCUCUGCCUCUUAUUUGUCUACCAAAUCUUUUCUUGCGCCUCUCUGGUUUUAUUGCUCGUUGAUCGUUUGUUUCUAAUUGCAUCUUGAUUUCUGAUGGAUCGUGAUUUUCAUCGUCGUGGUCAAGUGGUAAGCAUUAUACACCCAAACACACAGCUUUGAUUAUUACAAAAUUGCCACCUGGUUUAACCAAUAAAUAUACCUUGAUAUGAAGGUUAUGUAUAGGUUUACGUCAAUCAAGAUCAAUGAGCAUCUACGAACGUAGUUAAUUAUUAAAAAAAAAAAAAAGUAAUUUGCUUUGAUUUUCCUGCAACAUUUUGGACUUGUUGUCAUUAAUUUCGAAGGCAUGGUCCUUUAUGUUGUUAUUAUGAAGGCAGAGUCCUCUGUUUUCCUGCAACAUUUUAUGUCGGCAGCUCAUUGAUGUAAUUAGAUGAACAUGCAGGCGAAUGAUCGUGCACAAAGCAACUUUGUUCGAUUGGAUAAACCGAGAGCUGUAGACGAUCUUGAUAUAGGCAAGAGAGGGAAGAUGCGUAGGUGGUUGUGCUGUUCUUGCCGUGUACAAGAAUCUUACCCUUCAGCAGAUCAUAACCGUUUAAGAACCCCUCCUACUCGCCACCACGACUACGGUAUUGCGCUUUCUUCAACUAACUUGUGAUUGAAGAAACCCAUCAAAUUAGAUUCUUGGCCCUCUUUUAGUAAUAUUCUAUUUGGAGCUUUUGGUCCAUAUGUUACGUAUCUUUUGCUUGUCUAGAGGUUAAGUAGCUUUUGUCGAUGUUAUUCUUUCCUCUGUUUGUUGCAAAGCUUGUGUUAAACAAUGUUAUUGAUCUUUAUGUCUCUAAAAUAUUUCUUACUCUUGAAAUAAACGAGUGUCAUAGUGACUGCUUAUGUUCUUAACUCCAUAUUUUUAUAAAAUCUGUAGUAUACAAACUUGGUUUCAAUUUUUUUUUCGCUUGUGUAGGACGUAACAACAAGAAAACACCAGCUCCUGUAAAGCCUCCUGUCUUGAAGGAGCCUCCUCCCAUCGAUGUGCCAGCGAUGCCAUUGGCUGAGCUCAAAGAAAAGACUGAGAAUUUCGGAUCAAAGGCAUUGAUUGGUGAAGGAUCCUAUGGAAGAGUGUACUACGCAAGUUUGGAUGAUGGGAAGGCCAUGGCGGUGAAAAAGCUUGAUAAUGCAUCCGAACCCGAAACAAACGUCGAGUUCUUGACUCAGGUCUCCAAGGUAUCGAGGCUGAAGAAUGACAAUUUUGUUGAGCUUCUUGGUUAUUGUGUCGAAGGAAACCUCCGGGUUCUCGCGUAUGAGUUUGCCACAAUGGGAUCUUUGCACGACAUAUUACAUGGUAUGAAAGCUUUCUUCUCGAACAUCAAUAACAUUCAAUAUAACUUGGGAUAAAGAUUGAUCUGUCAAACAGGGAGAAAGGGAGUCCAAGGAGCUCAACCUGGUCCAACACUUGAGUGGAUGCAACGAGUCCGAGUUGCAGUUGAUGCAGCUAAAGGAUUAGAAUACUUACACGAGAAAGUUCAACCUCCGGUUAUACACAGAGAUAUUCGAUCUAGCAAUGUGCUUCUUUUCGAAGAUUUCAAAGCCAAGAUUGCUGAUUUUAAUCUUUCUAAUCAAGCUCCUGAUAUGGCUGCUCGCCUUCAUUCCACUAGAGUUUUGGGAACAUUUGGUUAUCACGCACCAGAGUAAAUAUGCUUCAACGUCGACGACUGCAAAUUUCUUGAUGAUCCUUAGCAGCUGAAAGAAUGUAACUUUGUACAUUUUUGUGUUUGCAGAUAUGCGAUGACAGGACAAUUGACACAAAAGAGUGAUGUUUACAGUUUCGGAGUUGUGCUUUUGGAGCUUCUUACCGGGAGAAAACCGGUUGAUCAUACAAUGCCUCGUGGUCAACAAAGUCUUGUUACUUGGGUAGUUAACUUACUGAUCUGAACCUUGGCUUUCUGAGAUUACUGACUCACAUCUUGGUUUAUUUAUAACAUUCUCUGCAAAUCAAAUUUUCAGGCAACUCCAAGGCUGAGUGAAGACAAAGUGAAGCAAUGUGUUGAUCCAAAACUCAAAGGAGAGUAUCCUCCUAAAGCAGUUGCCAAGGUAUAAAAAAGUAGAAGUUUCCUAAUCAUUUACAUAAAAUCCAGUGAACACUACUUGACGCUAAAAUGGGUGUUUUGAUGGUAAAUGCAGCUUGCGGCGGUUGCAGCGUUGUGUGUGCAGUACGAAGCAGAGUUUAGGCCAAACAUGAGCAUUGUAGUAAAAGCUCUUCAACCACUCUUGAGGUCUUCAGCAACAGCUGCUGCUCCUCCAACACAAGCUUAAUUCUUCUUUGUGGCUCUUGCAUAUUGAUUAACUCAUGGUUUCAAGGUUUUUUUUUCUUUACUUUAUUCUUUCUGUUUACAAAUGGAAUGUAAAUGGGUUAUUGAGGAGAGUUGGUGAGUAGGAAUUGGAAUUCGAGUCCAUGGUUGUGUUAACUGUUAUUUGUUGGGUUGAUUCUCUAUGAAAUCUUCUAAAUUUUGUCUGUUCUUUUUUAUAUAUGAGUUGAUAUUUUAUCUUCUUUAGGCAAAUUCGUGGAAAUAGCGCUUCAAUAUAAACAAAUUACGUAAUUUAUGAUUUUAUUGUCUUAAAGAGUCACUCAAUCACUAGAAUAAGAACAUUUUCUGAACUAUUCAAUUACUUGAAAUUCAUUCUGUUAAGUUGAGUAUGACAGUGUUUGAAAUGCUUAUCUGUCACUAAAAGUUGAAAAAUCUGCGUCAAAUCAAUUUUUGUUACCAGUGCACCAAACCCAGAGCCUCAGCUGCACUUCUUUGACUGUCUUUACUGCAGCACAUUCCAACAAACGUUUUCAGUAGAGACUGUCGCUCUUCAAGCUUCAUGAGUUUCUCCAAGCCUCUUGCAACCAUUUCCAUUUCAGCCUGAUUAUCGGUAACCAAGAAAUGGAGUUUUGUGAAAAAUAUGGGAGAGAUUGAAUGGGGAAAAAAUCUUGAACUUGCAAAGAAACAAAAGGCACAUACAGAGUACUCGUUAGGAGGAAAUAUGCGAUGAAUGAGGCAUAUUUUUGAUAGUUCCGCCACCGAUUCAGAUUGUUUUCCUUGUAUCUCCAAAGCCUGCAGUAAAAUGAAUAUUUGCUGAGAAUAAUGCAUUCGUUCAUCUAGGAUUCAUGUAAAAAAAAAAAGCAAUACUGCUGACACUAGAAGAAGGAUAGAAAGUGACCCAAGCUUGUAGAAACCAUGAACGUGUGCGUGCAGCAACCGCUGCAGAAACCAUUCUAGCAGCAUCUAUCUUUGCAAGUCCAAUGUUUUCAGCGAUCCCAGCAAUGAACUCUCGAGCAUCUUCACUACAAAUCUCAACAGAAGAAGACUCCCAAGGAGCUCUACAGAGAGUUACCAAACAAGUUCAGAACCAUAGCAAAGGACAAACGAGUAGAAUCUACCUAAUAAGUAAAGGUCAAUAAAGAGACACCUGCUGCAAGCAUUCAGGACAAAAUCAAUAGAUGUGCGGUAAAAGGAAUCUCGUGUAUUUGUUGGCUCAAAAGAUACUUGUACUCCAGAAAUUCUACAUACUCUACGAAGCUGUAUAUAAUUUCAUAACAACAAGAAAAGAGAGUAACCCGGUUAAUCCAAUUUCUUCAAGAUAGUUACAGAGUCGAGGGAAAGAAGAAAGCAAACAAAUACUAACUUGAAUAAUAUCAUCAUCCGUGAUGUCCUUUCCGCUGGUUCUGUUAUCCACGAUUGCUGGAAACUAAACAAGUAAGUUACAUUUGUAGGAUGAAACCAUGAACACAUAAGUAAUACUAAUACCAUUUUGUAAAAAUGAAAUCUUUCAGCUGUUUAGGCUUUCUACCUGUAACAAAGCAAAUGAAACGUCUUUAAGAUAUAGCUUGCAGAAAAAACAUAGAGCAAACAAAAUGAGGACUUUGCAUGGAAUUUAGAAGCGACCUCGAACGAUUCUGUUGGCUUCUCUUUGAUACUCUUCUUUGUCCACCACAUCCAAGUUCUGGCUAGGCAAUGAAGUAGGCCACCAUUUCGGCAAAUUAUUCUGAGAUUUAAGCUGGAGAUUUCUGGGUAUAGAGUUACUUUGAGAAGCUUGAUCAGAAGCCAUGAAGCUUUUCGAAUCCCUUGAAGAUGAACGAAUGCUAUCAACAGAGACAACCACUUCCUUCCCACCAAGACUCCUAUCUCUCCUAACUACAAAUUUGGGAUUACUUUGGAAAUUACCCUUUAAAGCUGAUCCUAAUUUCACAAGGACCCUAAUUGCAAAGCCGAGUACGAGUCCAAGCACAACCACACCGCCGACGAACUGCAUAGUUGAUUUCUUGCAGGAAACAACAACUCUCCGGUUAUCAUCGAGCGCGAUUAGUGUCUGCAAGUCGGAGAAUGCGUCUUUGCCGGAAUCGAGUAACAACUGGAAACGGGAAUUAGCUAAUUUUGAAAUCCCGUGAACGUCUAGGGUUAAGCUGAGACUUUGGUCUUCGUCACCGGUGGGAGACGAAGUGGAGAUUGUGAGAAGAUUGCGGUCACUGUAUUCGUAGGAUGAGCCAUUAGAUUUCCGGUUCCGGCGAGGACGUGGGCGACGGCGUUUCGGAGUGGAGAAGGAUAAAAGAGGAGACUUGUAGAUUUGGGAUUUGGUGGCGAAGAGUCGUGGGAAAGAAGAAGCAGAAGAAGAAGAGCACGAAGUCAUGUUCAUUGUGUGAUGUUCGCUUCUGGACUGAGAAUGGAGUUAGUUGAAGACUUCCGGUUUGGUUUAACCAACCGGUUCGGACUAAACUCUCUAGUGUACUCAGAGUCUUUUGUAACUUUUAAGCUAUUUGUAUAUUCAUAGAGCACGAAAGCAUAAGGAAGAUGCUUUAAAAAUACAUAUAACGUUGAAGAGUUGUUAUUGUUCUAUCCGAAAAAGAAUACAGGUUUAGGCUCUAAAGAUGUUUCUUAACGAACUUAACUGACUCUUUGGGAGAAUUGCAGCACGGUGAAAAGGACUCAACCUCUCAAAGUUUAUUGCGCUGAAUCCGUGUAGUAUACUAUCGAAAUUUCCUGAUCUCUAAAAUAAUCUUGGCCAAAAGAAUUCUUCGAAACAGAAGUCCUGCAACAAGUUCAAAUGCAUAUAUGAGUAUAGAUAUGGUAGGUUCCAGCAUGUCCAUCUUAGUUUUGAUAGUAUGAUGAAGUUUGUAGGAGGUUUUGCUUCUUACACGGGGAUGUUUUUAUCUGGGAAGAAGCGGCUCUCGGUCGUCUGAUUCAACACGGUGACUAGCCUGCAUAAACAGAGAAGAAAGACAAAACGUGAUUAGCUUGUCAUAAAAUUACAAGAACUAAAUUUCGCUGAAGAUGGGAAUGUGUGUGUGUUCCUCACCUCUUCAUUUGCUCCCGCUGCCAUGUUGAUGAAUAGUGAGUCUUUACCCCUGAUGGAAAUAUCAGAAGAAGAAAAUAAGUUAAAAUUGUGCAAAUCCAAGCAUAUGAAAGUAACAAUAAUGAUCAAUGAAAACACGCACCCAUGACCAUCCUUUUCCUUAACUAAUUCUAGGUUUCCGUUUUGUUGCUCAUCUUUAGCUUUUGAAAGGGGUGAAAAGAACUGCAUUAAAUAUGAGGCAGAACAACAUUAGUGAUGAAAAGGAGGCAGCCUCUUAGAGGCUCCUUUUUGUAGGUUAAUACUUAAUUGCUACACCUGGGAACAGUUCGUAUUGGAUUACCUGAUGCAUUGAAAUGAAAACUAUAGAAAUCCCCAGAAGGAAAUUCAUGGUUAAUACAUGUCCAAAGAGUGCUGCAGAUGCUAUGCCGGUAAAUAUUGUGGCAACCGUUGAUGAAUAUUUCUUCAAGAUUGUAUCUGAAAACAUACAGAGAUGAAUACGACUAAAUAUCCAUGAAAACAAUCUUACUGAAGAGGUUUUUUAUUUUCAAAACAUGCAGUAUAUAGCAAAUUUCAAAAUUUUCAUAUAUUGAACCUCCAUAUUCAGAACUAAUCCAUAAAUUAAUUGGAUAUAACUACUAACUAUUGUUACUUUUACCUGCAUAUUUGAAGAAAAAGGAGGAUAGAAUCCCUUGUGCUGCGUUGUUCAGUAUCAGAAACACAGUAGCCCUAGAAUGUCCUUGUAGGAUGUCAAAACUGCCAGGACCUGUCGACACCAUAGCAAAAUCGUGAGCAUAGCAUCUAACAGGACUUAAGAAGCUUUUAUGUUCUUCUCGGCCGUAUUAAAAACAUCCAUACCUUUAUAUAUAACAGUUCCUAGUAUUCCGAGGAAGUUGAAUAUCGCACCAUAACCAUAGAGAAAUAAGUUCUGCACCAGGGAAAUUAAAGUUUUACAUUCAGAACACAUGUACAUUCAGAACUUAGGAGAGGAUCAACAUCUUAUAAUUUGACUAGGGUAAAGAACAGGACAUAUUCAACAACAUCGCUAAAAGAGCUGCAUAGACCAAUGAACAGAGAAAGUUCAACAACAUGAGGCAAAAGUUCUGUUCUAAAGAGUAACUGACCACAGCGUUAGUUAACACAAUUAACUCGAGUACUCGACCAUAGAAUUGCAAAAGAUAGUUCAACAACCCAGGCCAAGAGUUCUGUUUAGAAAAUAGAAUCUGCUAGUGGGAUACACGAGUUGUGAUGGUCAUGCAUUUUCCAGCGAUUUGCCUCAAAGUUUACAAUACUAAAGAAUCAACACCAUUAACCAGCAGUUACAAGCAACGGUUACCACGAGGCUUUCUAUAUUACUACAAGUCUUUCAUUUCUCUGAAGCUAUAUGGAAAAAAUGUGUAUCGAGAUUAGCUAACCUGAAGAUAAAUGCUUGUGUCGUAUUGGCUCUUUAGAGCAUACUCGUUGUAGACAGAUGCCAAAGAUGGGACAGUAACCUGCAUGAUGAUGUGCUGAAUAAGCAUCUAGCACGAAUUGCAACUUCUUUUUGAUGCAGCAACAGGUAAGCAAUUGCAUUACUUACAAGUGACUAUGUGCAUAAAAUCACUUCCAUAACAAAUUCCAAAGGAAUGAUAUAUAAGAGCCAAGAAAUGUAACUUACAAAAAUAAAGGUACAGAUGUAUGCACCCGUAGCAAUUGGAACAGCCACAGUAGUAGCACCUUCAGGAAGAGAACGCAGCUGAUUUACACUAAUCCCUAUCAGCAAGAGCGCAAGUGCUUCCCACUACAACAAAAAAAAAGUAACAUAAUAAAUCCCAUUACGAGCUUUGAGGUAAGGAAGGAAGGUCAUAUAGAAUAUGUCUGGUACUAUAAAAGUCAUUGAACCUGACCUGUAUGAUGGAAAAGCGUCGCUUCAUUAUCAUCUUCAGUAGUACAGCAAUUACCAGAACCUUUAAAUUGCUGAGCAUCUUCACAGUAGCAGGAUUGAAAUAUAGCUGGCACAGCAGAAAAGUGAAUCUUUGUGUGAAACUAAAUAAUUGAAAGAAAGAUGGAGCCAAAUAGUAGUCAAGAAGGAAAGAUAUAUACAACAGCAGAGCAAAAUGUAACUAUCUUAUAAGCAAUUGUUCAGUGCAACUUUCACAGCAAGUUCAAACAUCUAUCACCAAAAAGGCAGCAUGUCAUAUUGCAGAAUGUUGAGCUGAACUUGGGAAGAUAGCGAUAAGGGAAAACAGAGGGCGGAAAUAACCUCUACUUAGGAUGAUUGUAUAAUAUUCUUAGGGACAAGUAGUGUCUACAAGGAGUGAUGUAAAGUAACAAAAUCAAGGAUCAACAAAUUUGAUCAAAUUAAGGUAUAUUCUCGAGGAGCAAGAAAACCAAAGAUUCUUACAGAAACCUCAUAUGAAGUAUGUUAACAACCAUAUCAGGCUUCCUCACAUUCCAAAACCAUUGCUAAGUUAUUAUAGAGUAAACCACCAAAUAAUACAUUUUCGCCAGAAAGCAAAAUACCUUUUUUAAAUUAAAACUCAAAACAACUAAGAAAUUUUUUUAAUGAAAUUGAAUUUCUGCAGAUUAAUUAUCAAAUGAUGCACAAAAUGAAAUGAAGAAGCACACGUACCUGCAUUGUGAAUUUAAGAUAGUUAUUAAUGGCAUACAGCCCUGCCGGAACAGCGAGAAGCACAUUAUUCCGAGCUGCCUGCGAUAAAAAGGCUAGUGUUACUGCAACUUGCACUAUAAAUAGUAUAAAAAGAAUUAUUCAAAGAGUUUAAUAGCAGGAACUAAUGCAGGAAAAAUAUAGUACUUAGAUGGAUCUAGUGGUGACAUAACAUCUACAUUUUAAAAAAUCAUGCUUCGAAAACCAGAUGUAUAACAUAUAUCACACUUCUUAGACAUUAAGAUUUCAAGAAACUAAAUAUUAAUACUGUAUGUGACCAUGCCACAAUCCUAGUACUUCCAAAUCGCUUAAGUGCCACAAAGAUAUACCUGGACAAACGUGGAAAGAGAUAGUAGAGGUUUCUCUCCAACUUUUUGGUGUCUGGCCUACAACAUUACCACAAAAAAAAUUAAAGUAUUAAAAGGGAGGCCAAUUUCCGAAGGAAAACCAAGAAACUCUCUAUAUGCACAAAUAUGAAUGUGAGCCCCAUCUCAUUCCAUUACUAGUUAAUCAACCUCAACACGCCCACCCUAAAGAUACAUACAGAAAUGGAAUAUGAAUUUAUCACUCUUCAACAACCUUAGCAAUUGGUUCAUAUUCUAGUGCAGAAGAAACAUCUACCAAGUAGUUGUAAAUGCAAGAAAGAAACUUAAAUGGCCCACAAACAAAACUGAUAUUUUGCAAGAACUAAAGUCAAUUCAGAAACGUACCUGGAACAAUAGCAUGACAAUGGCAAAAAUAACUUUUGCAAUUUCUGUCAAGAAGUUGACGCUAAUAGGACUAAAGUUGAACUUCCCAUCCACUUUACACAUAUACACUAAGACAGGCUGCAAGGACAUAAAGGAAAAAAUGUAAAUUUUUUAAGAAAGUUUAACAACAAAUGACGAAUAGGAAGAAAGAAAGACAACAACCUACUACAAUUGUACAUGACUCAACAACAAGUAAAUCACAGAUGCAUCGUAGUAGUAGUAUUGAAAUCGCUAAUGUUUAAGACGGGUUGUUGGAAGACAAUAUUACCUGUAGACCAACUAGCAUGCAGUCACCGACUACCAAAAAGACAUUGAGGGCCCGUUGUUUAGAAGAUACUCUAAUCUUGUGGGUAUCAUAAGCUCUCGAUAUAGCUCUGCUACUGGGAGAAACCAACCUUGAACGACAUACACUGCAUUCGGCCAUCCCGUUCUUCAUCGGCCUUUCCCAAGCUAACAAAUUCUAGACCGAGCUAAGCCUACAAGGAAAAGGAAACACCUUUUAAACAAAAAAGUAUCAUCAACGUAAGGAGGAACUCAAUCAAAACCGCAGAAUCAAAGUGUGAUUUCUGAAUACUGAAGUGAAAACCCACGAUCAGAUCUCAAUAGCAGCAAUAAAACCCCACAAUUCACAAAGAAAAUGAGUGCAAAAUGAGAUCUUAAAACCUUAAUGAAAAACAAGAAUGUAAGCAGAGAGCUGAAUCGAGCAUUGUAAAAAUCACAUUUUUAUUUACAACACAGGAAUCAAACUCGGGGAAAGUAAUAAAAUUUGGAGCCAGAUCGAUGAGACAAACCUCAAUCAACCUAUAAGAUCAGCUCAACAACGCAUUCCCCAAAUCAAAACCUCUUCCCGCUAAAACCGUGUAGAUCCAGACGAAAUUUUAUAUACUCACUGCCUAACCUCCCUUCUCGUCUGUGUAAAGAUCUAAAUUGCAGAAAUGUAACAGGAUCGAGAACUCUCCUCGACCUGAAUAUACAGAGAGAGAGAUAUGAGGAAGAAGAUGAAUGCGUCGGUCGAUGGAAGUGCGCUCUUAUUCUCUCACGCACGACCCUUCCUUCCCCUUUGUAUUGUGUUUUUUGCUUUGAUUUCACAACACCGUUUUAUUGCGUUUCUUUUGGAAAUAAAUAAACAAACCAAAACAUCCCAAAACAAAAAAAAAAAACAAUUAAAUAAAUAACAAAAGUAUGAUUUGUGUCUCAAUCUAGUGCUCACACAUGUUGAUUGUGACAGACCAAUAAGAUUUUAGUAUGAGUGGUAAUGAAGCUUCCGCGAGGCUGACGUGUCACGCGGGUGAUGGAAGGGAUUGUAUUUGUAUCCAAGUUUUGGCUUUUUUUUUUGUCGAAUGUUUCUUUCGCUUAGACUUGUGUUUUGUAGUUUCUCUACUACUACUUCUGAUUUUGUUUUAUUAUUAUGUGGUUCGUAACUUCGUUUAGUACUAUUCUUAUACAAAACCUACUUUAACGUCAACACGAACAUUAAUUGAUGAUAUGCAUUCGUUUUAUGCACUGAGAGAGCUUCAUAAAUUGUGCUGUUAAAACUUCUGCAUUACAUUUUUUUUUUCCUUAUAAUACGAAUAUGUAAUAAUUAGUACUAAACUAGUAUGAACACUUGGACCAUGAACACUAAUUCACAUGACCCUUGAAAUAUGUGACAUUUUCUACGGCAUGAUCUUAUAUUUCUCUCCUUAAAACAAGAUACACACAAUAUGCAUGCACUUACGUGUAGACUUGUAUUUGAAAUUUGCAAUGCACACAAACAUUAUAAGAACAAAUACAUGAAGAACGUAUACACUCUUCACACUUUAUAGAUGAUCCGUAUAAAGUUGUAAAGUAUAGUUUUCUUUUCUUGUUAUUGUAAGAUUCACUGGUGCCUAAAAUAUAUCAGUUUUCAAUUCGGUCAUUUUAUUUUAUGUUCAUUCACACAAUAUCUUAGUCACAAUAAUAUAUAACCAAAUUAAAACGUAUUUAGAGUGAAAUUCCAUAUCCGAAUGAAUUAUCGCGAGGCAUAACCAAAUUUCGUAUCUAUGAAACCAAAUAAUACAUACAGAUUUUUUACUAUAUAUAUAUAUAUAUAUUUUUUUUUUUUUUUUGAUUUUUUACUAUAUAUAUUUCAUUGUGUGUGUGUUUUUAAUAUAAAGACUAAUUAGUAAUUACCUUGUUGUUAUCUAUAUAAACUCUGCUAGUUUUAUUUAUAUGCAAAGAAUUGAACAAAACAAAAGAAAAUUCAGAUAUAUAUGAAUUGUCAAAACCGACUAAAUGAAGAAACUGAACAUAACCAAUCCGAACAAAACCGAAUAACUAACCGGAAUCACAAUUUAGAUUUACAGAGAAAAAAAAACAAAGGGCCCAAAAAAGAAAUAAAGAAAAGUGUAUGGGACAAUGUCAGCGUGCGUGCGAGCGAAUUCGUGAUUCAUCGACCUGAAAGAACUAGAGGCAAGUUAGCCAAGCAAUCUCACGUAGAAAUGCAUCAACCAUCUUGUUUGAGUUUCGGAGAGCAUCGACGGGUCUCCCUGCUUUUAAAUAUGCCUCGAACAACAUGCCCCGCUCGCUAAACCUAGUGAUAAUGUUUCUAUAACAUCUAACUUGCGCGUAUUUCAGCUUUGAUGCUUUAACCUUUUUGAAAGUCCGGAUUGCCACGUCAAACCGACCCGUCUUGAAACACUCGUCCACCAUGAUGUUUAGCGUAUCUUGAUUAAAAUGGAGCAGUUCCUCGCUAUGCAAAACCUGGUCGAACAAGGACCAAGCUUCACCUCUUCUGCCAUACCUGAGAAGAAGGUCCAGGAGUGUAUUGAUAGUAGUGGCUCUCGUGACUUUUACCAAGUUCAAAUCAUUGUAACACUUGAUAGCUUCCUCCUCGUUACCUUGCUCGAACCAAUACUCCAUGAAUGCACUGCUCACAUUCGCAGUAUCGUCAUAUCUCAUAUCGUCGACGUGAUUUAUCCACUUAAGCGCCGCCAAUUCCUUAUUGGCCAUUUUUAUAUAGAUUGUCAAAACCGACUAAAUCAAGAAAACCAACCCGAACCAAACCGAAUAUUUAACCGGAAUCACAUUUUAGAAUUACACAAGUAAACGGACGGUGGCUUGGUCUGUGUGCGAGCGAUUUCGUGAUUCAUCGACCUAAAAGGAGACAACGCGAGAGAGGCAGAGUUUAUUGGGUUCGAACCAUCGGCCUUGCUACUAUUCUCGAAAUCGAUUCUUUGCAUCACCCAGGUACUUUCUCCGUCAUCAGCCGCCACAAGGAUCAGUGUUAUGUGUCUCCACGGUUGGUUUUCUACAUUUUCUCCCUCCAUCUGUCUUUGUUGAUUUCAUGUGAGUGCUUGCUUCGAUCAUCAAUUUCCCAUACGAAAUCGCCUGCAUGAUUCAGUAGACCAAUUGCUUAUCUAUGCGCAGCUCGAUUCAAUUCGAUAGGGGUCGGUUCAGAUUUCGUUUUGCUGGGGUUGAAAGUCUCUGUCUUUGGAAUCCAAUUCGAUAAUGGCCGCUUUUUUUUUGGCUAAUGGUCUGCAAAACAUAUGGCCCUUUUCAAUUCUUGAAAGCAGUGACCUCAAGGAAUCUAAGAAGAUUGUUCACAGUCUUUCACUGCCAGAGAGUACAAAGAACUUUGUGUUUGCUAUUAGAGUCCCUGAGCAUGAUUCCACUAUCUACAUACUUUCUUCUCAGAGUUUAUCCGAGAGAUCUGCUACUGAUGCCGAGUUUCUUAUACGCGAAAUCCGUCCUGGUGCUGUAGUGGCUCAAGUGAACAAAUCUGCUUUUGGGGAAGCUCAGGUUGAGGAGAUUGUAUUAGGAGAUGGCUCAAGUGAUUCAAUCCCUACAUCAGCUUUUAAAGUUCUUAUACAGUGUUUUGUUGACAAGGUUAACAAAGAAAAGUAUGAAAGCGUUGCAGGGAUCUUGGUUUUGAAGGAGAUUUUUGGGACAAGUUUUAAUGGUCAUUUAUUGGCUGCCAAAAGGGUUGCUGGGGAGGUUGGUUCAUCGUUUCUGGUUCUCGAAUCUCCUUUUGUCACUAUCGGUGCCGUGGAAGCCUCCCCUGGAGAAAUUGAGACAGGAGGCAAGAUGCAAGGUUUAGCUAAUAGUCUCAUACCACAACAUUUUGGCUCUGCUAUAUUUUCAAGCUCGCGAAGGUUUUCGAUAGCCAAUGAUGUACAAGCACGGAUGCUAAAGUUGGUAUCUUUUCAGAUCAAUCAGCUCAACAAAGAACUUAGCCCAUCAAGAUGUGUUGCAAGUGGAGUUUCCAAUGAGUUACAGUCCAAUAGUCAUGAGGUUCCAGCAUUUGCUCAAUCCUUUUAUCCCUUGCUUGUUGACCUUCAUGAUAUAUUCAGUGAUCUCCCAUCUAUUGGGAAAGCUCUAGCCAAUGCCAGAAAGAUGUUAUCUGAUGUAAAUAGAGGUGAAUCUAUGACUACAGAGGUUAUUUCUGAAGUUUACCUUUUUCAGAUUGCAGUUGAAGGUCUAAGAAUUGCUUUGAACAAUGCUGGGCGACUACCAAUCAAGAACAUGGGAAGUUCAAGCCGAGGCAAAGUUCAAUUUUCACAGCUCUCUUCUGAAGACAAAUCAUACGCACUUAUGGCAGAUCUUCUUCGUAGCCAGGCUAAAAAGUUUAAGAACAUAGUAGCAGUAGUAGAUGCAAGUAGCCUUGCAGGUCUUAGGAAAAACUGGAAAACUUGUGUUCCUCAAGAAGUCAAAGAUAUGUCUGAGCAUAUGGUGCAAGAUUUUGAUAGUGACGAGAAGGCUAAUGAUUCAAAGUUAAAGCGACUAAUAUCUGAUAAACCGGUGGUAGCAGUUGGUGCCGGUGCAACUGCUAUCUGGGGUGCUUCAUCACUAACCAAGGCCAUUUCUGCUUCUCCUUUCUUCAAGAUUGUGACUUUUAAAGUACCAGUUUCAUUGAACCUAAUCUUGACACAUACCCAUAAGGCAGUGACAUUUGCAUUUACUAAAGUGGCAGCUCCAUCAAAAGUAAUGGCACCUGGUUUUGCUAGUUCUGGAGCCAAAUCAACAUCUUUGGUAAAAGCAUCUUUGUCCGCGGAGAAAAUCAGAGCGGUAACACAUAGCAUUAUAGCUUCUGUGGAAAAGACAAGUUUGUCUGCAAUGAGAACUGCAUUCUAUGAGAUUAUGCGGAAAAGACAAGCAAAACCCAUAGGCACCUUACCAUUGGCGACAUUUGGAGUCAGUCUUGUAACAUGUGCAGGAUUGUUCGCCUAUGGGGAUGGGAUCGAAUGUGCAGCUGUGUCUCUUCCCUCAGCUCCUUCGAUUGCAGACUUGGGUCGAGGGAUUCAAAACUUACAUGAGGCGUCUAUGGAAGUGAGAAUGAGAGAAGGCAACAGGAUACAGAACGCAAUCGAGUCCCUUAGACAAAGACUGAAAGUCAAGUUACAAUGAAAUGUUUCUUUUAGCUUAGUGUACAUAUAUAUUCUCUCUACAUGUUUCGUGUCCAGCUAAUGGUAUGAUUUGAACAUGAUCUCUAGAUGUUGACAGAAACUAUAAGUUGGUUUCAUUCAGGAGAGGUGGAAUCAAAAUAUUAUGAAUCAUUCUCGUCUUAAUUAAGAUAAGGGAGAAUCAUCGAAUAAAGUCAUUAAUAAAUGAGCAAACGUGAAGGAAGCUAGCAUGCAGCCAUGAUCUGCAAUAAAAACAUCAUGUUUUCUUAAAACUACUUAACAUAUUCGAAAUUAUCUUUCCACAAAAUUUUAAUCUCUCAAGAACAAUAGUUAAAACUUACAAUACAAGAAAAUACACUACCAUACAUGAAACUUGCUUCCAAAGUUACUUACAUUCAGUGGGUAUCUGAAACUACGGAAAUGGAUCAGGAUGAUCAUAUGAUCAAUGAUCUCAAUGAUUUGAAAAUGGUAUCCAACACUUCUUUCUUUGCGAUGUAAGAAUCUGAAGAAAAAAAAAUCACAUAUUGUGGAGAAAGUUAAGCAUUUAUGCCAUCAGAAAUAAGUAAAGAUAAAAUUACAAAUUAAAAACAUGAUUGAGAGGCAAAAAUAGAACAUAACGCAACAAGCUGAGAUUUAUAUCCAAGAUCGAACAUUCAAACCAUUUGAUGACGAACAAGAAAUUAUAUAUAAAUGCCAGUUGAAACUUGAAACUGUAAUCAAAAAACAAACGAGAAAGAAAGAGAUUAUUAUUGGAUUUUUUUUUUCUCAAGUUUCUGAUUAAUUAACACAGAUCGUUUUAUCUAAACUAUAAUUUUUAAUUUUUAAGAGAUUAAUGAUUUCACAUAUUUGCGUCUCAUUUACCGGUUGUUUUUGUUUACAUGAUUCAUUAUUGAUCUAAGUUUAUCAAAUCGCUUUAUAUGAAUUAAUACUAAUUCAAUUAUUUUUUAUUGUAUCUAAUAUUAUUGUUAUUCGUCUUUUCCCAUAAUCGUUGUUAUGAAUCAUUAUAUUGAAUCUUACGAAUCUAUGAUCAGGGAACUAUUUUUAUUCUUUUUGUAUAUUUUUUCAAGGAACUAUUUGCCUAUUGUUUACUCUAAAAAUAAUUUUACCUAAACAGAAGUCUGCGUGAUGACCAAUUGGGUAUUUGGUUUUGCAUGGAGAACUGAUUUUAUAGGAAUUUUAAAAUCGUGAGGGUCUCCCUUCGUUUCCGAUAAAAGUUUGCGUUAUGGAUAUAGGCUUGAUUUCAUUUAUAAAGGUUUAAAUAAGAAUUAAAAAUACUAAUUAGUAGUUAUAUAAUUUUAAUGGACGACUCUGAACGGUAAAUAGUUAUUAAGGAUGUAUACUAGUAGAUUUUUUUUAUUAUUAUUUUAUUUUGGGUAGGAAGUAGAUUUUUGUUGUUUGUAACUUAGUUAAUUUAUCAAGUCUUUUUAAAAAAAUAAAAAUAGAUAAAACUUAGGAAUACCAUUUUUAUUUGGUCUUUGUCUUUAAAUAUUUCCCUUUAAGUAUUGAAAGACUUUUUAUUUGUCAUGUCAGACUCAGAUGUGAUCAUUUCAGUUUUUUAUAUGCAUUGGAUUUAUGGACUAGGGUAAACAUAAACCACAAAACAAAAGUAUUUCUUAGAUAGUGAAACUAGUACUUCUUUAAAUGACACUAUCGUUUAUAGAAAAUGUCCUAUUUUCCCCUAUUAUAGUAACUAUGGUUACCCAUUAAAAUGAACUUAUACGAUUAUGCAGAAGUAUUAUGUAUACUUAAGCAAACCUUUAUAUCCAUAUCUAGAUUAACUAUAUAUAUCACCAUCAACCCCAAAUCUUUGAGUCCAUCAAACACUAGCAAUAUAUAUAUAUAUAUAUAUAUAUAUAUAUAUAUACUAAAAUAGUAAUGUAUGUUGAAUUGUAAAUCGAGUUCACUCACCUCCUCAACCUACGGAAGAUGUUGAGUCUUGCAAUGCCGAACCUGGUUACCCAUGCGAGAUCCACGGUCGUCACGGUACCGACAAGAAAUGCUACAGCGAUCUUCUCUUUGUUUCCCCAAAUGACAUGAGCCAAAUCUGUUUCUCAAGAUAAAAGAGAUAAAACACAGAUAUGAUAAUGAUAGGGAAACAAAAUCAAAGUAUUAGUCAAAUCCUUACCUCUGCCUCUGUCGAGGACAAAUAGAGCUGCAGCAUGCACCAUUUCUCCAACAUUUGCAGGCUCAGCAUCAGCCUCAUUGAUGACAGCCUCUACUUCCGCAACUUCAUCCUCCACAUCUUCCAUCUGCAAUCAUUUUAACAAGUAAAAUCGCUUUGCGGAUUGAUUCCAGAUCAUGUAAUCAGGUUUAUUGAAGAAAUUUAUUAGAAAACACAUGCAAUCGACUCCAAAUUAAGCAGUGUGAGAGGCAGAGACCGAGACAGGUUCAUCAGAAGCCAUCAUCAGGAAUACAAACUAGAAUGAUAAUCAGAGUAUCAAAUUCAGAAGAAACACGAUUCUCGAUUGUUAAAGAGACAAUUACAGAUCUCAUUCAGAGAAACGUAUAUAGGUAGUUUCAUAAGGAUACUUAAUACAAGUUUCUUCAGUCGAUUUUCAGGGAAAGCAAUUUUUAUCAUCAGAAAGACAGAGAUCGAUUCAGAUGGAAACACAAUAAGAAGCCAUUGACAGAUGAAACCACUUGCGGAUGAGAUUUCAGGAACACAACUCAUUUUCGUUACCAAACAGAUGAUGAAGAUCUAAAAAACUCGAUUCAGCAAAACAAGGAGCUUGUUUGUCUUAUACAUUGAGAUUGAGCGAUUCAGCAACCAAGAGAAGCGAUUAAGAGACAUAUAUAUAUAUAUAUACCUUGAGAGCUAGAGAAGAACAAAUCAAUCUCGGUGAGAAGACGAAACAAGAUCUUAUGCUUCUUCCUCGAGCUUCUUUUUUUGGCGCUAUGAUCUCUGGUUUCCGUUUUUUUCUUUUUUACGAAAAAAGAAAAUUUGAAUUCUGUCUGAUCAUCAUCACUCGGUAACAACAUUUGAAAGAGAGAAACAACAACUCGAUGGUAGUUAAUGGGCUUCUUCUAAUGAUGGAUACAAAAAAAUUGGACAAUAAUAAUGGGCUUUUAGGGCCCAUUCGUAAAAGAAGAUUUAAUGUAGUCGUCGUCGUCGGGCAAAGCAAACAACAUCGACCUUGGGGUCGAAUCCGAUGUCGAGCUCUCAGUGAUUGUUCAAUCCUCUUUUUCCAGAAAAAUAGAGCUUACAGAAACUCCAAUAGAAGCCGAUUCAGUGAAUCGUUAGCCAUUUCGGCGAGGCGGGUUCAGGAAGUGGAUUCUUUUUUUUUUGUACCGAGCAAAUCGGAAAACCAAAACGGAGGAAAAGAGAAGCAUGACGACUGGAUUCAGAUAGGAUUCAAUCACUGUGAUCGAGUCUUUUUCAGUCAGUGAGGCUUAAGUUUAAGGGGACUAUUUUACUGGCCUUGGCCCCUACUAUUUAUAUAUAAUCGAGUAAAAACAUAAGUGAAAGCUUUAACAAAAAAAAAAAACAUAAGUGAAAAACCGGGUUUGUAUUUAUGUCUUUUUCACCAGACUGGCUUCUAUUUCUCCAGCUAAUUAGCCAACGAAAAUAGUUUUUGAGUUUCCUGCAUCUUCAUACUCCUCCUGCAUCAUUCAUCAUUAUGCAAAAUACAGACAAAACAUUUUAGUUUGUGUGAGCAGGUAUUUACUCCAUCAGCUUUAGAUGGUUUGCUACUUUGCUACAAUCCUCAAGGCAGUUGUUAUUACUUGAAACUCAUUAAAAACUAGCUUUGACUUUUCUUUCACAGUCCAGUCGGGUCAACGAUGCAGCAAAUUUUUCUGUCUCAACCGGAUUGAUAUAUCAGAUACAAACAAGCUUUUCUUUGCGACAUUUAUACACACCAUUAUCAUCCCUCUCUGUUCUUGUCACAUUUCAUUUGCCACUGGCAAGCCAACCCUGUCUGUACAUGCUACCCAUAACUCCAGUUUUUUUGCAGCUGCUUCAGAUUUCAACCACUUGGUUGAUUUAGAAACCUGUCUCACCAAAUCACUCAGCCACUCCAAUGUCUCAUUGAUCGAAGAUGCUUUUUUCAGUUUUCCUCCCCAAACUAACUUGUCACAUGCUUCCCCAUAUCAGGGAGCAUGGGUAGAAGUUGGUAAAAAUAUAGAUGUAGCCUUUGUGAAUGCUUAUUUGGUCUGCAACAUCUAUGCAAAAGAUGUCUUUCGGAACAAAGUGAAUAUCUCUUUAUGCUAAGCCAUUACUUUCAUAGUAUGUAUAUCGCAUAAACUUCUGCUCCUAGUCAAUAUCCAAAUUCCGUAAACAAGUAGAACGUUUGAGGCAUUGAAUCUACUUGCACAGAAGAGGAGUGUGAAAGGGCAGGCAACCAUAAAACUCUGCCUAUAUCAAUUUAAAUGUCAAAGGGAAGAGGAAGAGAAAUAACUAAUGAGUUAGCAAAAUAAAUAUCACAAGAUCUUGAAGUAAAUGGAACCAAAGAAUAGUUUGACACUAGAUAAGUAACUCCUAGAGAGGCAGGCAAAUAUAACCAACUACUACUAUAGAGGUAAACAAAAUAUCUAGAAUCCUAAUAUUUCGGUUCAAAACUUUGGAUAUCCAAGAACCUGGCGUCGAAAACAAGCGGCAUCUAGAUAUCCUCACUUCGAAAUCCAAAUUUCCCCGAGAAGGAUGCGGAUGGCUUGGUUUUAACGGAAGUCGGACCAAAUUUUCCACAUAAGGAGACAUAACACAAGUGUAUAAGGAGAGACAACGAAUAACAUCUGUCCUUGGAUAAUAUUUGAAGAGCCUAUUCUUAUUGUCAUAGAAGACAAGAUUCCCUUGCUUGGAAACUGCCACGGGAGUGAACCACCUUUUCUGCCUUCGCCGGGAAACAACUCUAUGAUCCAGACUUAUGGAGUAAGUCUUGCUCCAUCUCUCUGUACAUGUAUCCAUGCCCCAUAUCUCUAGUAUCCAUUCAGGCGUAACUCUGGUUAUAGCAAGGACUAGACGGUCCUCAAGGUUCACUAUCUGAGUGUCCAGCGUGAUUGAGGUAGCCGGAAUGGGGACUUCAUGGAACUCUUCUUUGUGAAGAUCCAAGGCUAGUACUUUGCAAACCCCCUGAUUGUGUAACCAGUAGAUAGAACCGUUCACACAAACCGAUCUGCUUCCCGCGUUGACCGCAUAAGGAGGUGGAGUCAGCUUCCGCCAUUCACCAGUAUCAACAUCAAGAACACCACAUUCCACCAGAGGAUCCUCUUGGCCAACUCUCCGGAAAGAGAAAGACAUCCUCACCACUUUAUAUCUCCCAUUAACUUUGUCUCUACCAAAUCCCAGUGCCCAAUUACCCGGAGAGAAAGUCUUCCAAAAUCCUGAAACAAAAUUUUUCAAUUCAGUUUCGAGAAUGGCAAAAGCUAAUACUAAAUACAAAAAGUUUAAAGUCUAAUAGAUAAUGAAUAACCUAUUCCAAAGCUGCGCCUAUGGUUCAAGCCGGAAGGGAAACCGCGGAGUUGUCUGGUAGAAGGGUUCAAAACGAUGAACCAAUCUUGCUCGGGGAAGCAGAGCAAACCUUGGCAAGUCAUGGAAGGCCGUGAGGCGUCGCAGUGCAGAUAGACGAUCUCUUCGUCCCCUUCAAAGCGUGACUCGGGGAGGAGCCUCUUCGGUCCGCCGCAGUCGCAGUUGUAGGCAGCCAGGAUUUUGCGGCGGCUUUUUUGAAGAGCCAUACGCCUCUCCGCGAACCUCCUUGAUUCCAGGAUUGAUCUCCACUGUUUUGAGACGGUUCUGCAUUUGAGGAUCGAUUUCGUGGGCAAUCGAAUGAAGAAUUCUUCAAGUAAAUCGGGAAGUAUGUCGAUCGAAAUCGAAUUAGGGUUUUCUACUUCUUCUUCAACCAUCUUUUGUGAGAAUUUCCCCAAUUCUACAAAAAAAAAAAAAAAAGGAAACUCAAAGAUCGACUUGCCGUUUAAUGCCUGAGCGAGAGGGCAGAGCAUGAUGACGCUUAAUAUAUAUACUAACAUAAGCUACAAAAAUAUGCUUCACUUUUAAUUAAAUGAUCUUCUCGUUGGUUUGACAUCCGGUUCAUAGAUAAAUUCAGUUUGGUUUAAUUAUUCAGUUUAUGACGGUUUGAGUUCCCACGCAUCCGCUAAACUAACAUAAUAAAACAAUACUCAAAAGUGUAAAAAGUUACAUUUAACAUAUUUAUUAGCUUUAUGUAUUUCAUUAUUACACCUUAGUUAUAAAUUAAUAAUAAAUUUACAACCACUAACACCGUGGUUAUAUAAAAUUUUAGAUGAUUCAAAUCAGUUUCCUUCUUCGAGAGUUUGGAGUACGCAGUUAGAGCAGCGACAACUAAUAGCUCAUUUUUGUUUUCUCCGAUCUCUCUAACCAAGUCUGUUGUUGUUAAAUAAAAUAAUAAUAAAAUUAUGCUAACUAACAUAAUUAAAAAAUUACUCAAAAACAGAGUAAACAGUAACAUUUUUGACUAGCUUUAUGUAUUUCAUUAUUACAUAUAUAAUUAAUAAACUACAAACAAAACAAAAAGUUUACAAGUGAUUAAUAACUAAGGGUAACAUAUGCUUUAUGGAAUUUUUGAGGAAUUUUUUAGGAGUUUCGAAGGAAAAAAUGUUAUAAACUUAAGGUGUUUUGGUUAUUAUUAAAUUAGCAAAUUUAAAGAGAACGAGCGAGAAAUAAGCUUAGCGUCGUUUUAAUUAGCAAACUUUAAUAUCACUAUGCAAGUUAAAAAUAUUGUUAUUAUUAUAUAAAAAAUUGUUUUAUUUUUCUGUUCAACUACAAAAACAAUCUUUUUUUUCUGAGAACUUUUCUAUUUUUAACGGAAACCACCACAAAUAUUUCAUCAUUACUAUUUAACCCAGUCAAUUUCUAAUUUAGGUCACCACCUCUCUCGCUCUUGUGAAGAUCCUACUCUGAUCGUCAGUCAAAUCCAGUAAGCUAAAUUUCUCUACUCUUCAAUUACAUUUCGCUAGGUUUCAAUCGAUUUUUUCGUCUUUGGGUCUUAAUUUUCUUCACUAUUUCAGCUAUCUAUUGCGAUUUGUCGGAUUCUUUCAAUUUGCUUUUCGUCUUUAUGUUUCAGUUUUCUCAAUUCCGACACAUUCUUGUUCAGAUAAUUAUUAUAGACGAACUAUCUUCUAGUACAGAAAAAGCUGUAAUUUUCCCUUAUUUUUGUGGCAGUGGAAGAUGAGGAGGAUCCAGCAACGAAGAACAUCAACAACACAGAUGAUGAUUUUGCCAUAGAGCCUCGUGAAGGUAUUGAAUUUGAAUCCGAGGAUGCUGCUAAGAUGUUCUAUGAUGACUACUCUAGACGUCUAGGUUUUGUGAUGCGUGUAAUGUCUUGCCGGAGAUCCGAGAAAGACGGAAGGAUCCUUGCCCGGAGAUUUGGUUGUAACAAAGAAGGUCAUUGUGUUAGUAUCCGUGGCAAGUUUGGAUCUGUCAGGAAACCAAGACCGAGCACAAGAGAAGGUUGCAAGGCCAUGAUUCAUGUUAAGUAUGACCGUUCUGGCAAAUGGGUUAUUACCAAAUUCGUCAAAGAUCAUAACCAUCCACUCGUUGUUUCACCUCGCGAGGCUCGCCAAACUCUGGUCAGUAUAACACUUCACUUAUGUCCUUGUGCAAUGUAACACUAAAUAAUUGAGCAAGAAAUGUAUGAAACCAUUUUGGUAAAUUAUGCUGUUGUUGUAGGACGAAAAGGAUAAGAGAAUUCAAGAACUGACGAUAGAGCUGCGAAACAAGAAGCGACUAUGUGCAGCAUACAGGGAACAGCUUGAUGCGUUUGCAAGGAUUAUUGAAGAGCAUAGUGAUCAGAUAGCGAAGAAAGUUGAGAACGUAGUGAACAAUUUGAAAGAGUUCGAACCUAUUGAGCAUGAGCUAUGGCGAAAUAAACAAGAUGCUAUAUAGGCCAACUCUAUACGUGUGUGGCUGUAUAUUCUUUGAAUCGGUAAAGCUUUCUCUACUGCCUUUCCCGAUCUUCAAUGGUUAAGUGUAAUGUAGAUGUGGUUGAAUCUUACUUGUUUAUGUAAUAUAAUAUGAGAAACUGUGUAACCAUAGAUUAGAAGAGAACAUGAAGGUUUUACAUACAAAUCAGGUUUCAGGACAUGAAUUAAGCUCUUGCUUUAUAGAUUGAUGCAAAUGUGGUAGGUUCUGCAAUAUACUAUAUUGAUAGGAAACAGUUAACAAUCUAUUUAAGAACACUAAACAAGAUGAGAUGAGAAGGUGAAUCUUACAAAAGCACAGAGAAACCCUAAAAUAACAAAGAUACACACCUUGGUAGAUUACGAUGUUUUGAUUCGUUAUCAGAAAAGUAUUUACAGAGGAAAAACAAGAAAACAAACCAAUCAAUCGAAUAAUAAACACUCUUUAUCUUGUGUCAAAUCGACUAAUUAAAGAUCAAUUACUGCUGCUGCUAAAGCCACCACCUUUCAUCAUCUGAAGAAACUCCUUGUAAUUGACUCUACCAUCACCAUCUGCAUCAACUUGCAUAAUCAUCUUCUUACAGCCAUCAAGGGUUUUCCCUUGCUUGAGACCUAAGGAAGCCAUCACAGAUUUCAGCUCCUCCACAGUGAUAAACCCAUCUCCGUCUUGGUCAAACACGUUAAACGCGUCUUUCAUAUCCUCUUCCUCUGUACCUCCAUCAUUGUGAUGCUCAUCCACAAUCGAGCCGUAGAGCGACUCGAACUCGUCUAUGUCGACGCAUCCAUCACCGUUGGCGUCAAUCUUGUGGAUCAUUUGAGUAAGAUCUUGGUCUGGUAUGUAGAUACCUAGAUUCUCUAGUGAGUCGUUGAGCUCUUCCUUUGUGAUUCGACCGUCGCCGUUCUUGUCGAACAUCUGGAAAACACGUUUGAGCUCUGACGGAUCUAUCUUUUUCGUCGGCAAAGGAGAAGACGAAGGAGAGGGUAACAUGGUUGGCGGAGACGGUGGUGAGUUCAUGUGGAGAGUUUUGUCGAACCAAGAGAGAGGGAAGAGACUUCGUAGCUUCUUUGGUACUAAAGAGAGAAGGAAAGAGUUUAGUAUAUUGUAGAGAAGAAAUAUCCUCACCAUAACUGUUGGAAAAAACUCUUUCUUUUUAAUUAAUGUAAAAUAAAACAAAAAACAAAACAGAGAAAAGAUCUGAGAAACAGAGAGCUUGAAACAGAGCUUCUUUGGUAAAUAAGAGAGAAACUUGGAACUUCUUGUUGGUUUUUAUAGAAAGAGAGAGAGAGAGAAAAAAAAGAAGAAGUUACAUUUAUUAAUAAAAUCAUUAAAUAAUAAUAUAACUUGGAGAAUUUAGAAAAUUUCCAUUUUCACGCCUAAUACAACCGUUGAGUCUAUUUGUUAGUCCUUUACUUUUUCACUUUUUCACCUUUUUCUAUUUUUAUAAUGUUUCGGAGGAAGUAGGAAAAAUGGAAAAGAAGGACUGAAGAUGACUUAUUCAAACAUUAUACAUAAUUUUUUUAAAAAAAGAAUGUAUGAAAGUCUAGAGACUCAUAAAAAUACAUAGUCUUCCUCUAUUCAAAAUAGUAGUCACGGUUAAUAAAGAUUAAGAAAGAUAUAAAUUAUGAAAAAAAAAACAUCUUACAAUAUACGGACUACUACUUAUAUAAGUAUUUGUAGUUUAUGGAACCAUGAUAAAAUGGAAAUUGAUGAAUAGUAUAUUAUAUCAUAUGUUAUAGAAAAAAAUGGAAGAAGAAAUAAAAGAUCUCGCUACUACUACAACAACUAGGGUCUUAUUAAAAUAGUAAAGAAAGUAAAAGAAAAUGCAGAAAACGCGUGAAGAAGGUAGAGAGGUGAGGUGUAAGUUAAACAGAUACAUCGAUCGCUUUUGUUGUUGUGAUGACUGACUGAUGAAUCAUAAAAAAAAGAAGUAAUGUCAAAAACGCGUUGUUAUAAUUGUUGAUGUUUGGUUCCUGUCUUGUGUCCCCAUUAUUAGUGUGUGUUUUUUUUGGUUUCUUUAUUUCCUUUAUAUUUCUAUUUAAGUCUUCACUGUGCCCUGCCGGUCUUCUUCUUCUCUCGUUUUUGAAGACUUUUAAUGAUGUGUUAUCAUCUCUUAAUUUUUAUCGUAUACCUUAGAAACAUUGAGAAGUCUUUUCUUUUCUAGGAACAAAACCUACCAAAACGACUUUGUCCAACUUGAUCGUUUUCUUGGAUAGUCCCCCGUAGUCUGGGUUCUGGAACGAGAUCCGGCUAACUUCGUUUGUUUUUUUUUUUUUACUUUUACCACUCAUCACAAGUAAUAGAUAGGAAGAAGGAUUUUUGAACUCAUUGCCCAAGUAAGGUACUCAGUCUAAAAGAAUAAUAAUAAAAAAAGGAAGACAAAAUGGGGGGGGGGGGGGGGACCAAAUAACGCGCCAAGAAUGACGCCCGGCCGUUGGAAUUAUGACCGUUGGAUCUCUCUCAUCCUUGUCUCUUCUGAUGUUGUCGCUCUUCUAUUGGUGCUUCUUUGCUUCUUCACGACCUGGUGCCUAUCACUUUUGUAGUUACUAUUGACAUUUUAGUUAAAAGACAAAAAAUGUUCGUUGGAAAGUAAGUAAACUUAAAGACGAGCUCGUCCAUUGGUGCUGGGAUUAUAUUAAUCUAUCUAUAUAUAUAUACACACAAAUGUUGAUUGAAUUUUUCAACCAAAACGGUCCAAAUUACCUAAUUAUAUCUUUACUAUAACUCGAUCGAGUAUUUGAUAGAUAACACUAAAUAUAUCAAUGAUCGGCUUCUUUAACUAACAAGGCACAAAUCUUUGGAUCUUCCGUCUAAACGUUAUGUGUAUUUAUCAGCUGGCAUAUAUAUAUCUUGUUUCUUUUAUAUUGUCUACUUGAAGUUUUCAUCUGUUGUGUGGCUUGUGUCAUAAUUCUUAUAUACAGCGAGGUACUCUUAAAUUUUUAUAAAGUUUCAUGUAUAUCGCAUGUGAGUUAUGUUGAGCCUAUAGAGUAUACAUGAAUUAUUUUUCUUAAAAAGAAGACAAGAAAUUAAGAAUUAGCGCAUUAACUUAACUUUGACUUUUGGUAUUUACUAGAUUAAUGCAUGCAUGGCUUUAGUUUAUGUAAUAUAUUUAUAUAUAAACUAAUGAAUAAUAUAUAAAUUUAGUUAACGAAUAAUCAAUCAUAAACAUUGAGAUUCUCACGCGGGGGUGUGGUAACGGGAUCCAAGGACAUUUGACUUGUGAGAUGUGUUUAUGGACUUCAUAUGGUUGUUGUCUUCCUCCAGCUCACACCAAGCCAGCUCCACUUAUAUAUUAUUCAUACUCAUAAUUGUCAUUAAUUAUCUAUUCUUCUUUAACUGUAUUUUUCUUGUUAUAAUAUCCAUGUUAUGUCUUUAAGAAAGGAUUUAUACAGAUUGUGCCCAAUUAGAUUGUCAUUAUUUUGAUCUUUCUUUCUUCUUUUUUUUUGUUUUUUUGUUUUUGUUUGUGUGAGUGUGUGUGUGUGUGUGUGCAUAGCAUUACAGGUUGCAAUGAUUCUCGAUAGUGGCCACUCUUUACUCCUAAUCCCAAAGUUUUUCUAUCAUCCCGCGUAAUUUUCAUACGUUUAAUUAGGUACCCGUACCACUUUAACAUUUCUUUUUCGUUACAAGAUAAUCUAAUAUAUAUUGUAAAUAUUAAACUAUUUGUUGUUUAAUCCGUAUUAAUAAACACUUUUUCCAAAGUGAACCAUCCAUUUAAGUAAAGAUGAAGAAACAAUUGCUUCAAAGGCACACAAAUAUUGUUUCGUCGUCAUGUGAUCUGUCAAUUGAUAUGUCGGUCGGGACGUGAGACAUGAAAGGGAGAUUGGGUUGAACUCCUCUUCAAAACGCUUUGAAUUCGUGUGAAAAUUGUGUUUAAUGAGGCUCUCAAUGGUUCUCUCUAGUAACUAGAUUUUUACACGAAACUAGAUUUUUACAUUUUUUUGUCGCACUUACGAAACUAGAUUUUUACAUUUUUUUGUCACACUUACGAAAAUCAACUAUUUUAUGAACUUUAUUGGAACUCUUCAAUUUCAGUGGCUAAAUAUAUCUGAUGGAUCAUGAUAUCCAACAGAUCAAAUUUUGGCUCAUCUCUUUGGGUUUGAGAAUACAGAAACAUUUACCACUAAAAGACUUAAACCUUCGUAACAUUAGUGUGUAAAUAUGUAAAAUCUACGGGGGGAAACAAAAAAAUAAAAUGAAAAUAAUUCAUAAUUUAUCUAUCCACUGUAACAGAAACUGUCACACACGGUUUCACUUAAUAAGACAACGCCUACUCGUCUGGUAUGUCAACAAGAAACAUGCAAACAAAUUGUAGUAGUUAAUUAGUUAUUGACCAAUUAGGCCACACUGGUGUUGCACAAUCAUGCACAUAUUCCGGAAGAGAGAAGACAUUUGCAUGCUCUUAUGCAUAAUUGACUUAAUUUACCCCGUUACUGGGAUAUAUGAAUAUAUCUAUCUACCAAUGACCAUGUUCUGUUUGUAUAUUCUUUUUUUUUGGAAAUGAGUAAUUUAUACAUCGUAUUCAAGCUCACAUGUCGAUCUUUAGAAAAAUAAUACUACUAACCAACUGUUUUAUAUAAGGCUAUUUUGACGUUACACAUUUUCAAGAAAUGCCGCAAAGAUAUAAAAGAAAAGCUUGGGCCAAAUCAGUUGUUUGGCAAAUAAACCUAAACUGGCUUAGCCAAAGGAUUCUUGAAGCAUAGAUCAUUCACUUAUCAUGCCAUCAUGCAAAUAGCCAUCCAAAAUAAAUGUUACUUGCAUCUUGUUUAUCAGUGCAUCAAAACUUAUUAUAUAUAAUCUCUCCAUAGUUAAUACAUUCUUUGAUAUGGAUAUGAUCAUCUUUUACAAUUACAUAAGUGGUAAAAAAGUGCCCACACGCAGGAUCGAACUACGGACCUUCAGUUUACAAGACUGACGCUCUACCACUGAGCUAUACGGGCUUUUGCUUUCUAUCUUCUUUUUCAACUAUAUAUUUCCAAUUUAUAACCUCAUUUAAUAGGAGUAAGUUGGAGCACCUAUAGGCAUUGGGUUAUACCGAGUCUGAGAAUAUAUAUGACGACAUAUUGCCAUCGACAUAAAUCCUAAACAACAAAACACGAGUACGCCAUUCAGAUAUUCUCGACAGAAUGAAUAAUGAGAAAUUUUCAGGAGAGGAUAAAGUACAAGAAACAGAGUACUUGAGCUUUUUUAAUUAUUCUUCCACGAAUGAAUCAUGUAGACAUUCUUCUCUCGGAGAAAAACGAACCUACUUUUCCGACCAAACUCUUUAGGUUCCGACAAGACAAAUGACUUGAGCUUCGAUUUGGAUAACAAAUAGUCAAAUAUACUUAUUUUUUUUUAAUUUACUGGCGGUAAAAUAAGGAAAUAAAGGGUAAAAAUCCGAGCUUGGAAAAGAAGUAAAAAAUCUCGUGUUUUUUUUUGUUUUUUUUCCUUCCUUCAUUUGAAUUAAAUAAUCUACUUCAUCAUUCUCCUCAUCUUCCCCCUUUGAGCAACAAAGGAAGGAGAAGAUCUCUUUGUAAUCAACCGAUCGAGAAGGCAAUAGGACGUCAGGGAUGAACGGGACUCAGCGUCACCAUCUUCUUCAGCUGGUCUUAACGUGCCGUAAGAUCACAGCGCAAGUGACUCAACCAGGAUCCUCAACGAUCGUAGCCAUGGCUUCAUCCUCCGAACAAGAGUUCCUUGCCAAAAUCCGUGCCAAUCUCUACCGCUUCCCUCAUUCCAACAAUUUCUGGGACUCAAAGACCGCCUCACGCGUCGGCGAGAAGCUUGGCCUCCGUCUAAAGGAUCUUGGCGUCGACGCAGUCUCCAUUAACGCCGACGAAGAGAUCUCGCGACCCAUUCACCA
This 47889-nucleotide long non-coding RNA is filed under the name Capsella rubella. Its description in RNAcentral is "long non-coding RNA (CRUB_LNC003407)". Lineage: Eukaryota; Viridiplantae; Streptophyta; Magnoliopsida; Brassicales; Brassicaceae. The record is from RNAcentral.